AGCACCAAGUCCUCAUGAACUAGUUGACCUGCUAUGAUGAAUUUGCAGCAACUAACUUAGGAGAGAACCCGACACACAAGCUCAACCUGCCAAUAGAAAAAUAAUCCAAAUAAAAUAUGUGAAAUAAAGAAACUGGACAAGAAAAGAUAACAAACAAUAUGUUGACUUUUGUUUCACACUACAUCAUGAAUCACAUUAGACGGCAAAGGCAAGAAAACAAUUUCUUUCUAAAGUGUCAUUCAUGAUCCCGUCCCUGCAACUUCAAGCAGCAGCAGCAAUUAGAUUUCCUUUACAAGAUCCAAAAUUGCAACAGCAAAACCAAGGCAAAAUCAGUUUCUUGCCCUGAAUUUUAAAGUUAUGUUGCUAAAACAAAAUGUAAAAGUUCAGGGGCUUCAUAAAACUGAAAAAACUAAGGGUCUAGUGAAUUAGCAAAUCAAAAACCUCAAGAGCCAAAAAUGAAAUGCAUAUGACAAAAAUUACCAUCUUCGGGUUUCUUCAAUGUGCUUAGCUGUGUCUUUACUGCCAUCCGUUUGACAGACUCAGCUGUAAUUUGAUUCAACAUUUCAGAGGAAAAUAAAAUUAGAGACGACAUAUAGUGCAGAGAGUGCUACACUAAUAUAUAACACGAAAAUACCAAGACACCAGCAUGCAAUUGAUGUGAAAGGAUGCUCCUCCUUAUGGCUAGUUUACACAGCAAGAAUCUGACCAUCAAGAUAUAAAAGUACAGAAGAAUAACAAAACAAUACUCCUUUAUCCACAGCUUGAAAUAGCAUUAAUCACACGAAAGAAAACUCUGCCUUAUUGUUUUUUGUACAGAUGGAGAACAAACAGUAUAAUAACACUCAAAUCAAUAUUUCACCUUUAAGGCGUCUUUUUUUCUUUGCCCUUCUCCUCUUUCUAUCUGCCUUUGUUAGCCCAGUUUCUUCUUUGUAUGUCACCUUACCAGAAAAUACUACUUCAGGAGCUAGCAUAGCUGCAUCAGACACGGCCAGAGGUGCCACCUACAAACAGAAAACGGUUAGAACUAAUAUGCUACAUAGAAUAAUUAAUGCAGCUUUGCAUCAGCAUCGCCUCUGACUCGAGCAGCUUUGCACGAGCUUCCCGCUCCCCAUCCCUAGCAUCAAUUGCUUUGGCAAUGUCACCUUUAAUUUUCAGCUGCGAAGUCUUUAUUUGUUGAGAGUAUAGUAUGAGAAGAGGAAGAAAGCUGAUAUAAAUCUAGUUUCACAACUGGUGUAAUUACUAAUUAGAAUGUUUGAUUACCUUGCCUGUAGCAUCAAAAACCUUUGAUUUAGCUUCCUUUGUCUUCUGCUCAAAUUGUUUGUUUUGGUCUUCUAUCCAAUUUCUUAGCUUUCUGUACAUAAGAAGCAGAAGAGAAUCUAGCUAGGUGAGGAAUAAAAAGGAGUGGCAUGUAUAACUUAAAAUGGAAAAGGUCCUAAUCUAUGAUGAAAAAUGAUGUAAUAACUGCAUACAUGAUCUCUUGUAAGUGUAGUAUUCUCAUCUUUCAAUCUUUUCAAUUCUUCUUUCAUUUUCUGCACAAGACAAUAAAAAUCAAAAUAAAAUAAUUUGAUUAAUGUUUUCUUCAAGCCUAGGAAUUGAAAGAAGAAAAAUAAGCCUUAUGUGCUCCUCAGAAUGGGAAUAACAGAAAACGAUUGGUUUUCAGCUAUAACCUAGGAAUUGUUGAGGACCUUUAGAUGAUGAAGACCACUUUUAAAAUUUGAAUUAAUAUUUUAAUAUCUGUCACAUGGUGUUCUGUAUGAUUGAGAUAUAGAAAGGGCAAAAUAGACCUGGAUGUGAUCCGCUCCUAAUAGUCUUUGGUUGCACUUAAGGGCUUCAUGUAGAUAUCUGAGAGUAACAUGAACAUUUCCCAUGCCUUCUUCCAUCAUAGCUACAUUUAUGUAAGUAGCUGCUGUAUUUGGGUGAGAAAGCCCACAUGUGAAAUGGAGAAGAAACAAUGCACGGUUGACAUAUCUGUCCAAAGUCAAAAACAAUUAAUACUAAAGAAUUUAGGUGAUAAAGUAUGACAGAGACAACUACAAGCACAGAAUUUACAAAUGAGAUUCAGUUUCUAAACUGAAUUUGCUAUAUUUGAAAGAUAUUGCACUAUGGAAAACAAAGUUAAAGAUCGAGACAAGAAAGAACAAUCUAGAAUCGUAUCUGUAACACCCCGUUAUUUCUUAGCUAAAUUUAGAAUUAUUUUGAACUUAGAAGUCAGGAUGAUUCACGCCGGAUAUAAAGAAAAUGAAUUUAUUUUAAUUCCAACAAAAAUGAUUUACAAAAACAUUUGUAAAUUUAGUUAUUAAAUUUAUAUGCAUUGCAUAUUUAUUUAUAUUAAGCAUUUAGCAUCUACACGAGCUAUUUAUUUAAGCAAACACUGAACGAUUAUUACAGUUUUCAUAGUACAACCCGGAAGACUUUUUAUUUUAUUCAAUCACCUACCUCUCCACCACACUAAUCUUUUUCCCUACCACCACUAAUAUUUUCUUUUCCCUACCACUAAUCUUUUUCCCUACCACCACUAAUAUUUUCUUUUCCCUACCACUAAUAUUUUUCCCUAACCACCACUAAUUUGUUUUCAUACCACUACGCUUUGUAAAAAAAAAAAUAAAGCUUUUAGUCAUGCCCUUAUAUCCUUACUUCUCUCUGCACAACCAAAGUUGGAAUUCAUAGAAGCCUUUAAGCUCCAAGAGUAGUAUCAAAGUAAGGGAGAGCGUGGGAAACCUAGGGCGUAAAGUUAGAGUGAAGAUUGUGCUUCGAGGGUGAGUUUUCUUUGGUUUUUCUCAAUAGAAAAUGCUUUAAGACCAUGGAUUUUUACACAUAUGUGUGCUAUAUUAUGUGAGGAUAUGUUUUAUGAUUUUGGAUGAUUAUUUUGGUAGAGUUUAUUGGGUGAAAAACCGUGCAUGAGGUAAGGCAGCGAAUCUGCCAUAAGCACACUGCUCCGGCAGUGUAUUGCAAGGCGAUGCCAGCCAUCCAAACGGUUCCCAAAAUUUCCAAAUUAAUUGUGUAUCCACAUUAAUAUGUUUUAUAUACAAUGGUAAAAUUUAAGAAUAUUCAGAGCUCUCAUAAUUUAUUUAUGAAUUUUUAAACAUCACUGCCCAUCUGAAAUACAUUUCUGUAAACAAUCUUUGGGAGGCCAUAAGUCAAGAUUCAAUCGGUGAAAACCUUUGAAACUUGAAUAUGUCACUCUAGACUCCCGUAUAUUUCUUUUGAAACCGGCCUAACCAUUUUUGAAUAGGGAAACAACCGGUAUAAAUUCUUGAAAUCUAGUUCUUAUUCCUAGUACCAUCCAGUAGGUUUUACAAACCUACGACUUUGAGGUCACAAAGUCCAACUUAAACCUUUGAUUAUCAAGCAUAUCUUUCUACUGAAUAUGAAUUGACAUGUUGGGAACUUACUUGUUCAGUUUUAGAAUUUUUGGUGAAGCCUAAAGUGGUUUUUCCGAUUUAUGUUUUGAAUCUGCCAAACUUGAACCAUUUCUGUGCACUGAACUUUAGACAUUCAUAUCUCCUAAACCAUGAACCUUCUUGGAGUAAAUCCAACUGGAGAGUGUUACAAUCUCUCCCUAGUUUCGAAUUAACCCUUGGGGUUCCCAGUGAACUUUUGUAAAGGGAGUAUGAAUUUUUAAAGAAAGCCCACUGACUUGGUUGUAAUCUGGAAAUCUGAAAUUUUUAUAUUUUUGUUUGUUAAAUACCCAUCUUUGAGAGGGCAUAUCUUGCUCGUUUGAACUGUUUUUCAUUCGAUUCAAAUUGGAGAAUGAUCCUUGAAAUGUCUAGUUUCCAGAAUGUCUUUUGGAGCCUUAUUUGGAAAUCUGAGGCAGAUUUGGUGUCUGUUGCAAAACAACCCCUUAAGUGCUCAAGUUGUUGAAUUAUUUUCUAUGUAUCAAAGUUUAUUUUAAAGGAUGUUUCAUGAAAGAUUUAGUAUAUGUGCGUAACGAGUUUGGGGCUUUGAUUUUUUUUUUAUCUCAUUUGGGAUUUUAUUUUUAAUUCAAAGUGGACUGCCUUAUUAAAUAAAUUGGGCUGCAUUUUUACUAAAAAAAUGACUUGGUUUAAAUUUACUAAUUAGACUCUGAUAAAGUUUAAUUAUUUAUUUCUUUAAAGAAUGAUUUCAUAUUAAUAUUAAUUAUUAUUAUGUGCAUAUUUUAAGUAAUUACUUAUUAUAUGCUAAGCAUGACAUGAAAUUGCAUUAUAUUUUGCAAUAAAAGUAUUUAUGAUUUAAUUGGUUUUAAUUAUAAUUCCAAUUAUUAAAGAAAAUCGAGUAAGGAUAUUGUUGGUGUCCUUAACUCAAGAAGUUUAGUUUUCAAUCUUUAUUAUUAAAUUUUGAAACCCGGCGUGAUGAAUCAUAGAAUGUUAAGCAUUUUUCCCCAAGAUAUUAAGUUAGCUUCACGAGACCUAUUAAGAAUAGAAUUUCUUGUAGGCUUUGUGAUGACCAGGAGGAUUAGCGCUACUUUUCCCAAGACAGGUUUUUAUGUGUAUGAUCUUCAGGCUUUGCCUAACCAGGUGGGCUUACUUUCCAAAUGUACAAAGUAUGAUUGAGUUAUUAAGCUCUAAAUGUUUCAAUGAAAUGCAAACUGUUUAUUUAAUGUAAUGAAAACUGUUUAUCCAAUAAAAUAUUUUGUGCACUCUGCUCUGUUUAAGGCUCGCAUAAGUUAAUCGAUCGAGGUUCUCUUAUGACCUAACACGUUGUUUGAGAAUUGUGUACACCUAUUAGCUGACUCGGUGGGUUGAUCUCCAUUCGAGCACUAAUCAUGUAUGAGGCGUUAUAAGGGUGCUCGACGGGAUGUGUUCCGGAGCAUUGGGUCCCAAAUGGGAACUUGACUGGGUUACGCCCUCAGUUCAAGUAAAGCGGGAGAUAUGGAUCCGUCGGUGGCUAAAAGGUCCGGGAUCACAGCGAGUAACAGAAAGGGAGUGUGACAUGUGCGCACAAAUGAAAAAUGUUUUAACAUGCUUAGAAGUUAUUUCAUUUUUAAAACCUUCUAAGUCAUGUCAAGUAUAAUUGGAUAAACUGCUCUUACGAAAAUAUGAAAUGUUUAUGAAAAUGCAUGCCCACUAAGUACAUUAGUACUUAGCCCAAAAAUACUUUCAAAUGUUUUCAGGUUGGCUGGCUGGUGCUGACGGGACGGAGCUGAGGCUAGAGAUAAAUUCCUAUGUUAGACUUCCGCUGUAGCAAUUACUCUUAUACAUCUUUUGUUUUCUCAACUUAAGAUGACUUCAUGUUGAGCUUAAAUUUGAAAUUCUAGUUUUAUGCUAAAUAAUGUUGGUUGUCAGAAACAUGAAACAAAACUUGUGAUCCAAAGGGGCUUAGCCCGACUCGUUAUUUUAUUACUCGGGUUUUAACAAGGUUGUUCCUUGUUUAUUUCUAUGAAUUAUUCACACCUCGAUUAUAUUUAUUCAUUCAAAAAAAUUGGGGUGUGACAAACACUUGAGUUCAAAACGAUUCUAGUCUAUUACAAAUAAGUCCUAUGAUUUUUGGUAUCAUCAAAACAAGGGUUAGGAUAUUCCACAAGGUUCCCAACAAUAUAAUUGGGUCCUAAAUUUAUUUAUAAAAACAAAUACUCCAUUCGUUCCAUAAAAACAUACAUAAUUUUCCAUUUUCGUCUAUUCCAUAAAAAUAUACAUAAUUCAUUUAUAACAAUAAUUCUUUCAUUAAACAUCAUAAUCAAUGUGCGAUCAUUUCUCCAUUCACAUUAUAUUUUACUGAAUUUCUUAAAACUCGAGUAUUAUAAUUUCACUUUCCUCUCGAGCUUUUCCUCCGAAGUGGAAUUUCUUAAUGGGAUUAAUAUAUGCAAAUAAACUCCCAAUGUUACCAUUCUAAUUCCACUUAAACCUUCAACACAACGCUAAUAAUAAUUAGCACUCCAACGUUUGAUUAGUAUUUCACUUAAGCUCAGUCACUAAUGAAAAUAUAAAUUCGUUAAUUUUUUUUUUCAACUUUAUACGAAAUAACUUUUUAUAUUCCUCAUUUUUGCGAUAUAUGUUACCAAUAGUUUAUCUUUCAACGGCAACGAUAUCAAGCGCUGUUCCAUUAUUUAUAAUUCAAUAAUUAAAAUCACGCACUAUUAACCUACAUUUAUGUCAAGCAAAGAAAUUUAUCCUCUAUAAUAAAUAGUUCUAUAAUUUUUAUUGUACUAGCUCAAUAUUUUGCUUUAGUUCAUUAGCCUUUGCCUAUAGAAAUUUAUUGUAGAGGAGGAAUCUCUUUGCUUGAAACACCUAUAGAUUAAUAGUGUAUGAUCUUAAUUAUUAGAUUGUAAAUAAUGGAACAGAGCUCCACAUUGCGGCCGUUGAAAAAUGCAUCGCAAAAAUGAGGAGCAUGAGAAGUGGUUUCGCAUUACAUUGAAAAAGAAAGAAAAAAAAAAGGGUCCCGAUAGUGUUAAUAUUUCCAUUUGCCAUUGAGUUUAAGUGGAGCACUUAUGAUACCUCCAACCAUGAACAUACUUUCAAAGUGUCACAUCAUUGUCACAUCAGCUUUGAAAAUUCACCUUUUUUUUUUCUCUAACAUCUUUUUUAAAAAUAAAUCAAUUUCUUACUUUUUGAGGGGCCCACCAUAAUACGCACUCUUUCCGUUCACGACUUACUCAUUUUCUUUGUCCAGGAAAAGAGUCUCAUUUUACUUUUUGAACCAUCACAUUAUACAUUUUCUCAUAUAUUUAAAUAUAAAUUGUACUUUUAUUCCAUCUUUAACUAAUAAUGUAUCUUUAUUAUACUUUUUGUUAUUAAUAACGCCCCCACAGUGAUUGUACAUUAAUUCUACUUACAACAACUUUAACAAUUUUAUUGAAACUCAUGUCCACCCUCAAACAAGACUCUUUUCGUGGACGUGGGGAGUAUAUAAUUAAUUUUAUUUACAUUAUUAUUUGAUAUUUAUAUAUUUUGAUUUUAUUUUAAUUUAAAAUUCUAUACCUUAAUUAUUUAAUACUCCAUCCGUCCACAAAAAAUAGUUCAUUUUUGUUAUUUUGGGAUGUCCACAAAAAUUAAUUUCUUUCCAUUUUUGAAAACUAUCUAUUACACGGUUGGCUCUAUUCUCCACUCACAAUACAAUUAAUUAUCAUUAUAAAUACUAUUUUUAAGUAGGCCCAUUUCUUCACUCACAAUACAAUAACUAUUUUUAUUAAAACUCGUGUUUCCACCUUUAGGACUAUUUUUGGUGGAUGAAUGGAGUAUAACAAAUUAAAUCGACUUUAUUAUUAUAAAUAAUUAUUAAAAUUACAUUGAAAAAAAAAUUAAAAUUACAUUAAUUGAAAGUAUAUAAAUAUAAUAUUUCAAAUUAAUAUUACUUAAUUGUAAACAUCUGUGGCAUUAAAUUGUGCCCAAAUAUAUUGUGUGAAAUCAUGUUGAAGCUGGAAAUGAGCUUGUUUAUUUUUUAAAUCAGUUGUGAAUUUGGAGAUAAUUUUCAAAUGCUUCCCAAUUAUUACUAUCCAUUGGUAUUGGUUGUUGAGGAGUUGCAUCUUCUUCAUACCAGUUCAUUAAUUCUUCACCGUCAUCCUCAAUGAUCAUGUUAUGCUAAAAAAAAUAUACAUUGAGCAUUAUAUUGCGGAGGUCUUCCCUGAAAUAACAUCGCGCGGGAUUUCGAUUUUACUUCUAACGAGCUUGUAGCACUCCAAACGUUUGAAGAUGGAAAUAUUUGAAAGAUGCGUGAAGAAUGAAAAAAAAUGAAGGNNNNNNNNNNNNNNNNNNNNNNNNNNNNNNNNNNNNNNNNNNNNNNNNNNNNNNNNNNNNNNNNNNNNNNNNNNNNNNNNNNNNNNNNNNNNNNNNNNNNNNNNNNNNNNNNNNNNNNNNNNNNNNNNNNNNNNNNNNNNNNNNNNNNNNNNNNNNNNNNNNNNNNNNNNNNNNNNNNNNNNNNNNNNNNNNNNNNNNNNNNNNNNNNNNNNNNNNNNNNNNNNNNNNNNNNNNNNNNNNNNNNNNNNNNNNNNNNNNNNNNNNNNNNNNNNNNNNNNNNNNNNNNNNNNNNNNNNNNNNNNNNNNNNNNNNNNNNNNNNNNNNNNNNNNNNNNNNNNNNNNNNNNNNNNNNNNNNNNNNNNNNNNNNNNNNNNNNNNNNNNNNNNNNNNNNNNNNNNNNNNNNNNNNNNNNNNNNNNNNNNNNNNNNNNNNNNNNNNNNNNNNNNNNNNNNNNNNNNNNNNNNNNNNNNNNNNAUUAGAGCAAUUACAACCAUUAAAAUUAGUCGUUUAGCAUUACUACAAAGCAAUAAAAGGAAAAGCCAAUCAAUCGAAAAUAAUGAAAAGAAGAAAGAAAAAAUGAAAUAAAAGCAAUCACUGCAUGAAAAUGAAAGAAUCCAAAAUCAAUAAAACCUAUUUACAUGUAUUCUAAAAAAGACCUAUGUUCCCUAGGUUUCUCUAGGGUUUUCGUUCUCUAGGUUUUCUAGGGUUUUGUCACUCUCACGAGUUUUGGUUCGAGUUUCUCUUCUCGUGUCGACGGCUUCUUUGCGUCUUUUGUUUUGUGUCUUCCUUUUCCCUCUCCCUCUCUCAUCUACUGUUUUUUAGCUUCUGAGCUUUCUCUCGUGCUGAUCGAUGCGUGGUUUGCACCUACUUCUUGGUUUUUUGUGUUUUCACAGGUAAGGAAUUUGGUGGAUCUUCGAAGGAUCAUGGGUACGCAACUAGGCCGAAAGAGCGUACUGCAAAUGAGGCCGAAAUUCUCCAGAUCCCAGGGGAUCUAUGGAAUGAGGGAGAUAAAUCUGAACAAGCUUCACAUGAUCUUGUGGGGCGUCUGAUAUGCCCGAAACCCUCAAAUGGCUUUCAUCUUCUCGAAAUAAUGAAGAAAUCGUGGAAAACAAAAGGAGAGUUUAUUGCCCGUGAAUGGAAAAAGAAUCUGUACCUAUUCUCGUUUGCCAACCAAGAGGAUAGGGAAUGGGUUAUCCAGCAUCAGCCAUGGCAUUUUGAUGGCUAUUUGUUUGCUAUAGCCCCCCUGGAUGGAGCAAUACAGCCCUCGCAUAUUCAAAUCACAAAGUGUAAUUUAUGGGUUAGGGCUUACGAUCUCCCGAUGAGGUGUCUAAAUCAAGUUAUUCUGAGAAAUAUUGUGGCUCAAGUAGGAAAUGUGGUGGAGGUUGACACGAAAGCAAACUUCUCUGGUUGUUUUGCCCGAUUCAGAGUUGAAUUGGAUAUCACGACACCUCUCAUGCACGACAUCACUAUCUACUUUGGUGGAAAGAAUCUAUGGAUACCUUUGAAAUAUGAGAAUUUGCCUACAUUCUGUUACAAAUGUGGAGUUAUGGGUCAUCAUACACGUGCUUGCGAGAAAGAAUUAGAGGAUGAUGACUCAGGAAAACAAUUUGAAGAUCUUCUCUGCGGCCCUAACCUCAAAGCCUCUCCCCUCAAACGCAUCCGCCCGCCUGUCAUAAAUAGCUCGCUUCCUCAUAAUAACCAACCCAAAUCAACCUACCCUCACCCAAACUCCAAAGAAAACUGGCCAAAUCUCCCUCACUCACGACGCCCGAGGCCCCCCUCUCUAUCUUUCAACCUCCCCGUCGGAAAACCAUGCUAAAUCCUCUCCAUCAGAACCCCAUAACCUUCCUCCACACACUCCUAAAAUUCUUGUCACAAAUGCUAUUCAGCGACAAAACCAACUUCAGCCCGAAAACACACUAACUAUACCUGAUGCUCUUCCCAUCCAGUUCCAAUAGAAACACAAACCUGUCGCUACUACCUCUAUCUACCAACCAUCCGACCCUCGUUGCCUCGUCUUAAAGAAGCGGAACAAGGCUCAAACUUUCUCUAAACUAUCAGUUCCUAACCCGUUACCAGCAGCCACGAUAGCCAACAGUUCCAAAGCUCAGCCAGAUAAUUCUACAGCUCAUUUCACUCCAACUCAGGAUCUCUUUAAGUUCAUUCAGAUCAAAUAUCCUCCAAAUCACGUUGACACCCAGCCUAUUGCCCAAAAAAAGAAGUAGACCCUCCUCUUCCGCAAUCCUCUGCCAAAUUCUACCAUUAACAAUGUUCUGAUUGAUCAAAUUCAGAAACGUCUCAAGACUAGCAUAGUUAUGUCUGAUUCCUCCUCAAAUGCGUCAUCGGCGGAGAUUGCUUCAGAGCAAUCUCGCUGGGCACAAUGAAUUGCAUCAUGUGGAAUUGUCGGGCUUGGGAACCAGUCGACAAUUCGUCAACUUGUUUGGCUUGCCAAACACAAGCAACCUGAAUUGGUCUUUCUCUUGGAAACCAAGAUAUGUAAAGAUGAAUGAGCUCCGAUUAUUGCUUCUGUGGGUUUGGAUAACAGUUUUGUGGUGAAUUGUGAUAGUUUGGCUAAAGGGCGGAUGGGGUGGACUCUGUUUACUAUGGUCUGAAAACAUCUCUAUCAAAAUCAAAUCAGCGUCUGCUCAUCACAUUUUGGCCUCGAUGGAUGAUCAGAGUAAUCCCCCUUGGGAUUUCUGUGGGUUCUAUGGCUGGAGUAACAUCACUGAUCAUCACCUCUCGUGGGACCUCUUACGAUCUGUUGCGACCCAAGUGGAUGUUAGAUAGAUUUGUAGGGGUGUAAUGACCCGACUUUUAAUUGGGGAUUAAAAUCUUCUAAUGACUGAUUAAGGAUUUAUUAUGAUAAUUAGGGUUCAGCAUCCAUUAAUAAAAUACGGACUUAUAUGAAUUUGAUGAGUUAUAUACGUGAUGAUUUUAUUUUUUUAUUUUUAUUUUUAUUUUCAGUGGACGAUGCACUCAAAAUAUAUAUUUUGAGUCCAUUAAUUUAUUAAUGAGGAAUUUGGCUUUUAUGUAUUAACGUAUUUAUACGAGUUUCGACUACAUAAUUAUUGAAUUGGGCUCAAGAGUUUAUUUAAUUAUUCUACUUUGAUUGCAAGCUCAAACGAAUGAUGGACUUAUAUGUAACAAGGGAUUCUAUGAAAUUGGGCCUAUUUAUAUUAUGAGUUGAUUAAGGUGUAAAUAUCUAGAUAUUUUAGUUAAGUAAGCUUAAGGAUACAUGGCCAUUUUUCAUCCACCAAUCUCAUUUCUUUCUUUAAAGCCAACCCCACCACUUCACCAUUUCUCAAUUCUGCAGUCCCAAAUUUCACACAGCAAGUUAAGGUAAGAAAAUGAGGAUAAUUCAUCUAUUUCAAUUCCUUUUUCACACACUUAAUUUCCUAACCUUUGUGAUAUUCAAAUCUGCAGAGGCUAAUAUCCACCUAUUCAAGGUAUUCGCCCUUUGUUUUAAUUUUCAGAGAACCAACGGACAAUCACCAAAACGUUUACAUAUGUACACAUACAAACUGAAAUUGCAGAUUUUAAACUACAGGAAAAGAUAUUCAGAUGUUACAAGCAAUUGUUAUAUAUGAUAAUUACAGUUUGAGAAUGAUAUGUGCUAAGAAAAAUCCUAUGCUAUUUUGUGAACUGAAUUGUGGCUUGAACCCUGCUGUGUGUGUGAGUCAAGGUCAGGGGACGGCAGCCGCGGUGGCUGCCGGCGGUCGACGGUCGGCGACGGAGCCGCGGUGGCUUCCGAUCUGCCAAAGAGGGGGAAAAGGAGAUGAGUAUUUCAGAUUUUUAAUUUAGAAAAUGGAAAAAGGGGGAAAAUAGAAAAGGAAGAAAUUAGGGCUUACCUUAGGGCUGCCGGUCGAUGGAAGCAGUGGCGGUGGUGGCUCCGGCCUUCGGCUGGAGAAGAUGAACCAGGCGCGGCGGCGGAUCUGCCGCGAGGAUGAGGGAGCAGGUGGCGGCCCGGCGAUGGCGGCACACCGCGGUGGUGGUGUCUGCUGCGCCUGGGUCCAGCGGCCAAGAGAGCGAGAGAGAUAGAGGAGAAGAGAGGGGGAAAGAGUUCAGGGAGAGAGGAGAGGGGCCGACGCCGGCCUCCGUCCGGCGGGCACCGCCGUCGGGGCGGCGGCGGCAGAGCACCGAGAGAGAGAGAGAGAGUGGUGAGAUGUGGGCUGAUGUGUGUGUGUUUGAAGGUGUUUUAAUGUGUGUGUGUGUUUAGGUUGAGAAUUGAGUGGGCCUUGGGCUUCAAUAUCUGUUGGGCCCUUUUUAAUUGUGUGAUUUAAUUGACUGAUGGGCCUUUCCUUAUUUAUUGGGCUCGACCCAUAUAAAAAAAUAUGAUGGACUUAAUUUAUUUAAUUAACUUGGGCUUAUAUUCAUUUAAAUUAUUUGAGCUUUUAUUUAUUAACUUAAAUUGAGCUUGAUUAAUUUAAUUACAUAUGAACCUUUAAAUUAAUUAUAUAAAUGGAGUCUUUUAUUCGAUUAUUUAUAAGUGGACUUUAAAACGGAAUAUUUUUGAGUUAAAUUCUUAUUUAUUGAAUUCUUUUCAAAUAACUUAUUAUGGACUAUUUGAAAAGGAUUAAAUUGUUUUAUGUAUGAGAAAGCAUGAUCUAUGAUAAUAUAAUUUGUCUAUGUGAUAUUAUAUGAUUUGUUAUUAAAUGACGGAAUAUCUGGCUUGAUGGCAUGAGUAGAACGAGUUAUGAUUGAUGCGCAUAUUGACGUUCGAAUAAGUUUCGAACCUAAAUGUUAGUUAUGUGAUAAUUGUUUUGAGUUUAAGGUUUUGAACGAGACAAGAUUAAUAUGGAUGCUAGAACCCUAAAAUCAUUAAAAAUGAGAUAGUUUAGUUUAGAGGUCUAUCUUCCUUUCUUUCACGACUUCUUCUCAAACUUAUCGAUUCUUCGUCAAUAAAGGUCCAGGCGGGAAGUGAUAGCUAAAGAGGGAAGUAGCUCUACGCCCGUUGUGGGAACGAAUAAGGUGGGCUUUCUUAAAACACGUAUAUAGAGAUCCCCUGCAUACAGGCCUCUUAUACGAAAUGAAAUGAAUGACAUGAUAUGACUGUAUUAUUUCAAAUGGUGAAUGGUUCUUAUGAAAUGAAAUGUUUAUGGAAAUGAUUAAAUGGUGAAUGGUUCUUAUGAAAGGAAAGGAAAUGUUUAUGAAAUGAUUGUCUGCCAAAAAUGUUUAUGUUUUAUGUAUGUAUCCUAUCUGUGUUGGUUCGCCAACUAUAAAGGAAAUCGAAUUCGGACCCUACGCUAGACGAAGGUUUGCUAGUAAGGGUUAACGUGUACACUCAUGGAGACUGUGUGUCGCUUGCGACCGGUCUUAGCGUCCGUGGAAGGAGGCCUCCUUCCCGGCGUGUAAAAGGAACAGAUAUGGAUCAUAUAGACUGAAAAUGGGAUGCGCAUCCAACUUUAUGAAAUGAAAGAAAAUGUUUAGUAAGCACGGGUCCUUCAAGUAAAACCCUGUGUGUUACUGUUGGCAGUACAAUAAAUGAUAUAAAAUGUUAUAUUUCCGGCAUAUGUUCACUGAGUAUUUUUACUCAGCCCUGCAUGUUGUUUUCCCUAAUGUGCAGGUUGAGCGGGUGAUGGAAUGGAGUGGAGUUGAGCGGAUGUACAUUUUGACAUAGAACAGUAAUGUAACCUUGAGUAUACAUCUUCAUAUGUAUAACUCACACGUAUUUCCGCUGCAAGAUACUCUGAUUAAGCUAAUGUUUUAUUUCAUGUAUGAUACUCUUUUGUUGGGUAAUCCACUUUGACGGGCCUUCCCGAACAAACGUCUUGUAUUUGCCCAAGUGAUCAGUUAUGAUCCUAGUGUUAUAUAAAUAAAUGUCUCUUUUCGUAAAAUGUUUGAUUGUUAAGUAAAUGCCCCUUUCUUUCCCCGCUUCUUAAUCCCCUUCCCGAGUCAUAACCCCGGUUAAGCCAUCCUUAGGGAUUGCGGGCUGUGACAAGGAGUCAUUUUAAUGAGACUAUGUUUCAUUAUGAAAAUAAGGGUGGCAAUGCUAAGGCUGAUGCUCGAAUUAUGGCAUUCCGAGAUGUGGUGGAUCUUUGUCACCUUGUGGAUUUGGGUUAUACGGGAGACCCCUAUAUAUGGACAAACAACCAGAGUGGUGGAGAUAACAUUUUGGAAUGCCUUGACCGUGCGUUUAGUAAUAAGGCAUGGAUUGAUGUUUUUUUGGGUUUUGAAGUGUCUCAUCUACUUCGCAAGUCGAGCGACCACUGUCCGCUUUUACUUUCUCUUACUCGUGUGGAAAAGGAGAUUCAGAAUCGGCAAAAACCUUUUAGAUUCGUAUCCAAGUGGUUCAGAGACGAGAGGUGCACAGAGCUUUAUGACAGUUUAUGGGAAUAUGGUGGUUUGGUGAAUUCGGCGAAAGACUUCAGUGGUAAGCUCAUGGGUAUGGGUGUUGUGUUAAAAAAAUUAGGAUAAGAUGGAAUUUGGCAAGGUCAGGAGAAAAUGCGCUAAUCUUAGAUGUGAUCUGGAGAAGCUACAGAAAUCCACUCUUGAGGCUACAACGAAGGAGCAGCAGCGUCAGAUAGAAGGAGAGUUGGAUGAGUUGAUGCAGAAAGAAGAAAUUAUGUCGCGACAAAGGUCGCGAGCUGAUUGGCUCGUCGAGGGCGAUAGAAACACAAGCUUUUUCCAUAAGAUUGCAGAGGGGAGGAAACAGCGCUAUUUCAUUCGUGAAAUUAUAAACUCGGAUGGCUCAGUUGUUCGUAAACAUGCGGAGAUGGAGAAAGUCUUUAGGUCCCAUUUCAGCUCGCUCUUUACGGCUGGAACUACCCAUGAUCUUAUGGAGGUUCUCAAUUCCAUUCAACCUGUAGUCACGGAUAACAUGAACAGGUGUCUUAAUAAUGGUGCUUGUCCUGCCCCAUUAAUUCUACUUUUAUUUGCUUGAUCCCUAAGAAAAAGAAGAGCUUUACUCCUGCUGAUUUUCGCCCCAUUAGUCUUUGUAAUGUUGUCUAUAAGUUGGUCUCUAAGGUGAUUACUAAUCGUCUUAAGUCUUUUAUUCUUUCUAUCAUAAAUGAGAGUCAGUCUGCUUUGUGCCGGGUCAUCAGAUUACCGAUAAUGCUCUACUUGCUUUUGAGAUCUUUCACAUGAUGAAAUUGAAUAAAGCUCGUGCUCGUGGUGUUUUUUCUUUUAAAUUGGAUAUGGCGAAAGCUUAUGAUAGGGUUGAGUGGAGUUUCCUUGAGUUGAUGUUGAGCCGUUUGGGUUUUCAUGAUGGUUUUGUGAACCUUAUUAAGAGAUGCGUGUCUACUGUUUCCUUCCGUGUUCUUGUUAAUGGUUUUCUAGAUGAUUUGUUUGUGCCUAGUCGUGGUUUAAGGCAAGCGGAUCCUUUAUCCGCUUUCUUGUUUAUUUUUUGGGCGGAAGCUCUUUCUGGCCCUCUCCGCACGGCGGAAACAACAAUAUGUUGCACAGGGCCCGGAUUUGUCGCUUAGCUCCAAGUGUGAGUCACCUACUGUUCGCUGAUGACGGCAUUAUUUUUGGGCGAACAAAUUCUGUAGAGAUUGAGGUGGUGAAGGAGGUCUUGAUGCAGUACGAAAGAGUCUCUAGGCAAAAGGCCAGUUUGGAGAAAUCGACUAUUAAUUUCAGUUGUGGUGUGCCUAAUGAUCUGAGGGAAUUACUUGCGAUUCUGUUGGGAGUCAACAACGUUCUUCAGCACGGCAGAUACCUUGGAAUCCCGAGCACUGUGGGUAGAUCCAAAACAAAAAUAUUUCAAAUGUUGGCGGACAGAAUGAGGAAAAAAUCUAAAGACUGGAAGAGGCGCUUCCUAUCAGGGGCUUGCAAGACGGUGCUUAUCAAAUCAGUGCUCCAAUCUAUUCCCACAUAUCUAAUGAGCUGCUUUGCUCUUCCUGAGCAAAAUUGCCAAAUACUCAAUAGCAUCGCUGUGAGUUUUUUUUUUGGGACAAAAAAAAGACGAGCGACGUAUUCAUUGGAGAAGUUGGAAGAGGUUGUGUCAACCCAAGUGUGAAGGUGGUCUUGGCUUCCGUGAUAUUAGUUUGUUCAACCAAGCCAUGUUGGCUAAACAAUCACGGCGCAUACUUCAUGGUGGUGAAUAUCUUUUGAGUCGAUCAUUAAAAGUCCGCUACUUUCCUAGGACCGAUAUCCUCCUACCUAAAAAGCCCCAUAACCCAUCUUUUACAUGGAAAAGCUUGUUAGUAGGGAGAGAUCUUUUAUUGGAAGGAGUAGCUUGGAAGAUUGGCAAUGGAGAACAAAUACGGGUUAGGCGAGAUCCUUGGUUGACGGAUGGUGUUGGUCGCUUUUAUACUGCAAGUGUGCCGGAAGAAUGGAAAGAGGUUAGGAUGUAGGAGCUUAUGUUUCCAGAUUCUUACGCUUGGGAUUGGGACAAGAUUGACUCUCUAUUACAACCUGAUGAGAGGAGACUUUUCCCUACUCUUGCCUGCCCCUAUGAGAAAGUUGAUACUCCGAUUUGGCCACAUGGUAAGUUUAACUCUUAUUUUGUGAGAUCGGGUUGUAUGGUGGCCUGUUCCUUAGCUAAAUGAAAUGAGGCGUCCUCUUCCUCCUCCACUCUCGACCCUCUUUGGCAUUGGAUUUUGGGGACUGGAAGUUAUACCGAAGGUUAAACACUUUUUGUGGCGUUGCCUUGCGAGAGCGAUUCCUUCGGCUUAAACUCUUGGAGGUAGAGUGAUCAAUGUUGAUCCGAUGUGUAGAAGAUGUAGCGUGUGUGCUGAAUCUGUCAAACACACCAUUCGGGACUAUUCCUAGGCGUCUUUUCUGUGGGCUGCCUCUCCGCUUCGUCUACGCCUUCGGGGGACAAUGUCGGGAGCUCCAUUGCAAGUUGGUUCGAUAGUAUCCGGAAUAUCACCUAAAGUGAAUAUCAUAAUCUGUUUGCAUCAAUCGCUUGGGUUGCAUGGUAUGCUAGAAAUAUGCUGCUCUUCCAAAAUAAGACUCUCUCCCACAAAGAGUGUUUGGCAAUCGCGCUCAGGGCACUCCGGCCCUCUCAAGCGAUCGUGGCCCCCCUACAAGUUCCUUCAAGGAGGGUGUUUGUUCUGCACUAAGGAAGAAUAGUUCAAGGUCUCUGGGGAUGCGGCUGUUAUGGUGGGUGUUGCAGUGGGAUUCGGAGCUGUGAUUACCGACAAGAAUGGUGAUCUAAUGAGCUAUUGUUACGGUUUCAUGCAGGGUCCUUUGAAUGCCGAAGAAGGAGAGGCUCUGGCGGCUUUUCAUGGGGUGGUGCAACUGUGUUUGGAUCGGGGUCUCUCGGAUAUUAUCCUUGAAACUGAUUGCCAAAAUCUUUACUGGCGACUGAUUAAUCGCAGCGACGAUCUCUCUUACAUUGUGACACCACUUCAAAUGCUCUCUCCAUUUCUGAUAGUUUCCGGAGGUGUGCAUUCAGCUGGACAAGACGAGAAGGAAACGCUAUGGCAGAUCGCCUCGCUAAAUUUGCUUUAUCCAAUCGUGUUAUGUUUUUCGUUUAUGAGGCUUUCCCUCAUGUUCAAACUUUGAUUUUGAAUUUUAAUAUAUGCUUCCUUUGGUUCUAAAAAAAUGACAAAAUCAGCCGCAAAGAAAAAAAGAUAAAAAUAUAAAAAAGAAAAUAAAAAAGGCCUGCAAGUGUCAGGUUGAAGUUGGGUGCGAAUUUGAAACUAGUUUCCUCAAUUUCGACUCCAAAAAUCAAAUAUUUUCUUCAUGUAGUUCUUAAAAUACUAAUUUUCUAUAUAUUUUUUUAGGAUCUACUCCCUCCGUCCCUGAAAUAAGUUCUUCUUUUUCCUUUUUGGGACGUCCCUCAAAUAAGUUCCUCUUUCUUUCUUUCCAUUUUUGGACAACUACCCCACCACUAAUAAUAUUUUAUUUAUUCUUACUUUUCACUUUUUCACCACUCUCAAUACUAAUUAUAACACUUUUUCACCUUUUCACCACUCCCAAUACUAAUUAUAACAUAUUUUUCUCCACUAUCAAUACAUUUUACCAUUUUUUCUUAAAAUUUGUGCCGUCCCCAAAGAGAAACUUAUUUUGGGGACGGAGGAGUAAUGUUUUUUAUAAGUUGUAAAACAGUAUUUUUAUGAAGAAUGUAGACCUAGUUCAAAAUACAAACAUCCGGCGUAGAUUAUAUAUAUUGACAAGAUAUGAAAGUUACAUCCAAAGUAUUAUUAUUAUUGUUAUUAUUAUUAUUAUUAUUAUUAUUAUUAUUAUUAUUAUUAUUAUUAUUAUUAUUANAAUCUCCCAUUCGCUCUCCGACUGUUCCUUUUCCGACAACAUGUCUCCGGCCUCAAUUAUUGCCAACGGCAAACCAUCACACUUGGCAACGAUCUUUCUCCCAAUCUCCUUUAAGUGGGUCGGGCAUUUAGUGUACUCUCCGAAUACAGUCUUCAAGAACAAUCGCCAACUCUCAUUAGGAUCAAGAAUUUUCCUCUCAUGAAUGUAGUGGGCAUGCGCUAUUAUAUUCCGAAUGCGACUGGUCAGCAGCAAUCUACUUGCUUUCUCUGCUUACACAAGAAGGAGGAACCGAUUCAAUUAUGUAUCUAAGCAAUUGUAUUAAUUCUUAGGUUUUGGUAAUUGAAAAUGGUCGAAAAAUAGCAUGAAAAAUGAUGUUAUGAAACUCUAUAUUCUUUUCUUUUUUUCGACUACUUCUCAUGACCAAAAUCCAACAUUAAGGGCAUCAUUAGAGAGCUAUCAUCAUGAGAUUAAUAACGGUACCUUCAAAUUGCUCAUCAGGCUUUAGACAAUUAAGCUAUUGGACAACAAACUUUUUGACUCAUGCAAAAUUUCAAAAAAUAAAAUUUAUGUAUUUUUUGACAAAAAAAAAAAUCGUUAAAAACAAAUUUCGGAAUAAAGGAAAAAAUAGACGGUAUAACACACACACAAAAAAAAGGAUUUUUAACUGAAAAAGGAUAAAAAACAUUCAAAAAAAAAAUUUGGUAUAUUUACACACAAAUUGCUUAUUUAUUUAUUUAGGAACGCAGUUGAUGAUAAGCAAACACAUGAACAUACCGUUAUCAGGAAAAGCGGUCAACACAAACUCCAAGUCUCCGUCUCUCCAAACGUGGUCCAGAACUAUGAAAUAUCGUCUGCUCCGCAGGUGUAGAAAGACCAUAUCACGGAGGCGUCUACGGUCGUCCGCUUCCACCAUCUUCGUCUCCGGCUGCUCGUAUUCGAUCCCCAGCUGUAGAAUUAGUUCCUUAAGCACCUCUUCUGCACUCAACGAUUCACUCGACACACAUAUCCAAGCGCGGAGCUCGAACUCGGAGGCCACGCGUUCAUGAUUGUAUACUAUCUGAGCAAGAGUCGUCUUCCCCACACCCCCCAUGCCCACGAUGCACGAGGCGGCAAGCCAUCGCGCCGCCGCGGCCUCGUCGAAGAAGAUCGCUUCUUGAAGCAGCGACUCCACAUCAUCCUUCAUGCCCACCACUUGGGACUCUAGAAUGUUCCGACGGGGGGGUGGUUGAAGGCUUGAUGAUCUCAUGGCGGCCUCCGCCGGAGACGAAGAUCUAGAAUAAUCAUUCUUCAGAUCUCGGAGGCUGCUCCGGAUGCCGUCGAUCCUCGUGAGGAAUUCGAUCCGAGAUCUGCGAGGAGGAAUUCUCUUAUCCUCGCGGCUGGAGAUGAAGGUGUCAAUGGCGAGGUCCGCCUCAUGAGCCAGCUCCUUGGUGCUGCUGUCGUCUGUGAGGAGAGGGAGCAUCCCUCUCAGAUCAUCUAUCAGACCUCUCACUUUCUCCCCACCGCCGACGAUGGAAGCGCCCUCCUUGACCAGCAGAGUCUCCAGCUUUUCCACCGCCGAUAAUAUCAUUGCCUCCGCCAUAUUUCUCCGACUAAUUAAUUAAUGGAGCGAUCGGAUCUUGCCUAUCUCAACUUUGUUGACUACAUCCACUUUAGUUUCUAUAUUUCACUGCGACUAUUUAUGUCAAAAAAACAAAUAUGUAAAUAUAUUUUACUCUCAUCGUCUCAUUCUAAUAGACUCGUUUUCCAUGCCCAAACAAAAUGAGGCUCUUAGAGUGAAACGAAUCGAGUAUUAGACUAUUAGUUAUUCACCCCCGAAUAACAAAUUAGACUUGGUUCAAUCCAUCAUAUUGUUUAUCUUUAAUUUAAUAUUGUAUGCAAGUUGUAUCCAACCUUGGUACACUCUAGGGCCUCAUUUGCUGAUAAGUGUGGGAUAAAUAUUUAUAACUAGGGAUAUCAAUCGGGUCAAUCCACCAAAUUUUGGGUUAGCCCUAUUAGGUUGCGGAUUAUUCGGGUGCAGGCUAAUCAGGUUGAAAUUUUUUUCGAAUUAGAAAUUUCCAACCCUAACCCUAAAUGUUCGGGUUUCAAACUAGUCCAUCGGGCUAGUCAGGCUCAAAAAAUUAUUUAAAAGAAUUAAUUAAUAUAUUUCUUUUAACAAUAUUAUAUUUGUAAUAAAUAAAUAGACACAUAUAUAGGUAACAUUUCAACAUCAACUUACAUAAUAACUAAUAUGCAAGUCUUGGAGAUAUAAAGAUGCAAUAUUUUAUUAAAUAAUAUUUUUUUUUAACUUUUACAUCUAAAUAUUUUAUGUUAUGUAUUGGAUUAAAAAUACGGAGAAGUGAAAUGAUGAAUAUAACUUUCUAAUAUUGAAUCAAAACAUAUUCACACACUUUUGGAAAAAUUAUCUUAUUAUACUAAUUUUCAUAAGCAAAGUAAUGAAGUUGAAAAUCAAAUAACGAGAAUUUUUUAUAUAAUCAAGUGAGCACAAUAUUUUUAGGUCAACCCUAUAGGAUUUCGAGUUAGCUUCGGGCUGACCGUAUCGGGUGCCGGGCUAAUCGGGUCAGCUCAUGAGUUUCAGGCUGGAUUGACAUUCUUAUCUAUAACACCUUAAUAUGUUGUUUGUUUUAAAACUUAAAAUCCUUUAUAAAUUAAUGAUCUGUUAUCUAUUAUCCAUAUCUUUUAGAUUAUGUAUCAUAUCCGAGAGAUGUGAUAGCGUAAAAUCGUUUUUAUAUUUCUUAUCAAUCAAUAUCUAAUAAAUUAAUAAAUAUAAUAGUGGCAAAACUUUUUUUUUCUUUACGUAAAGCUUAAUAUUUUUUUACUACGUAUACUCCAUGGGUGCACACUAAUUCUAUAUUUAAUCCCAAAUUAUGGUCAUGACUCAUCAUAAAUUGAAUUCACACACCUCUUUCCACGCUACAGUCGCUACUUAAAAACAUGAAAUGAGAUUCAGUGUAUCACACUUUAUGUCCCACUUUCAAUUUUGUUUAAUUUUUUAUGUAUAUUUUUUUCAAUUAAAACUUUAUAUGCUUUAGUUUAAUUUUAUGAUUAUUAACUAGGGUUUAUCCCAUCAAUUUAGGGUAUAUAAUUAUUUUUUUAUCAUUUAAUUUCACUUUUAUUAGCUAAUAAUAGGUUGAUAAAUUUGAAAUAGUUUAGCGCCCCAAAUUACCAACAAAGUAAAACUGUGUAAAGAAAAGAGUAAUGUUGGAUGCAAUGUUAUCAACAGAAUGUUAAUAACAUUAUAACCAACAUGCAGCGGAAAGUAAUAACACACAGGAAUACUUUUUUCACGGAUUAUAAAUAACCCGUGAGUGCCUCAAGGCUAAAUUCACUAUGUUGAAUCAACAAUACAAAGUACAGAUUUUGAUCUUCUUGGAGAUCUAUCUCUACAGAAUAGCUGCCUAAGAUAAACCAACAUAUCUACAAUCAGCACUAAAAUGUUGAAACAACACAGAAACCAAAACAGCCGAAUAACAAAAGUUAAUCGAACAAAGCAACCUGCUACGCUCCAAUGGCCUCGAACUUCAACCCUUACCCUCGACCUCCGUCAAUACAAAGAAAGACUUUACAGAUUGGCUGCCUAAGACUACUCCGUCAAAGCAAGCCUUGAAGAACCGGUGACACGUUUGCAGCAGCAAAAUGACGAAUUAACUGUGAACGAAUGUUAAGUCGCAGAAAACGCACUCCCAAAACGUAAGGAUGAAUGAAGCUUCUUGCUGCAUUUAUAGACCUUCAUGUCGUGGUUAGUUUCAUCCACUUCCCACUUCCAGAACCUUCCAAUAACCGCUGCAAUCCACCUCCAAAAACUACCAGUCGACCAGCCUGGAAUGUUGGCUAAGAGAUCAUGGGUCCUGAAAAAUAGCAACAAACAGCCCACCACUUUAAACCAUGAAAAACCACCUAUCCACUUAUUAAAAACGUGGUCAACAAACAUAAAACCAUAAUUCCACAACCAAAGAAUAAGAAAACGUGAAAGGAAGGUAAAGAUUAAAUAUAUACAAUUACCAAUGGAGAGUCAAAGUAUGGAGUCAAGGCAGACUCCAGAAUGUUGGUUGAAACCCAGAAAUGUUGACACCAUGAAUGUUAUCAACAUUCCACCCAACAUUGAAAACACGAAUGUUAUCAACAUUGGUCCCAACAUUAUCGGAGUCAACAUUGACUCUAACAAAAUAAAAAGAAAAAAUAUAAUUCAUAAAAUUUAAUUUUUUGAAAUAAAACUUCAAUAUAAUUCAUAGUAUUAUAAUAAAUUUUAUUUUUAUAAAAAAUAUUUUUAAAAUAAUAGAUAUAAGCAUGGAACACAGUGGCACACAUAAAAUUGUGGGACACUGGAUCUCAUCUCUUGACCAUACCCCCUCCUCCCUUUAUUUUUAAGUGUCUCAGUCUGUUUUUAUUUUUAUUUUUUAAUAAGUGUUAAAUAGUAAUUAAUAAUAACAUGUUAACUAUAAAUUUUAUUGUGUAAUCUAGUGACUGAAAAUACUUUAAAACAUAGGGAGAAAUUUUGUUUUAUUGUUCGAUUCACGUCGGGUUCAAUCCCAGUCCACAAUAUUUUUUCCGAUAAAAAAACUAUGUAAAUAUUCACAAAUUUCGGUGCGGCCUAUAUAUUUUUGAAAAGUAAAUAUGAAAUUCUCAUUUAAGGAUAAAGAGUACAAGAAGUACUCAAAUUGAUGACAAGAAGAACUAAAAAUCUGUCGGUAUACAAUCAAAAGGAUGAGAACUUUAAUCAUGCAUAUACACAUAAAAAUGAUGGAUAGUAAGACUUUAAUUAUUUCCACGAACAAAUUAAAUUUAAUACUCUCCACAAUAUUCUCAGCCAUCAAUAUUGAUUUUUUUAAAAAUCUUAUCAUUUCUCGCUUUCCGACAAAGGCAUGUGAACUAGACUUUAUUGUGAACUGUGAUUAUAUAUAGUAGUUGAUCUGACCAAGUGCAGUAAUUAAAGUAUGGGAUAAUGCAACUUGUUAUUAGACAAUUGCUCAAGUAUUAAAAUUAGCCAUGGUUGCUGGACCCCACGUGCACCGCAGCUCAGAUUUUGAAGUCACAUAUGAUAUUAAAAUUAAAUUCCCAUAGUAAGAAUUUCACAAGGAAAAUUGCGACAAAGAAUAAGCAAAUGUCAAAAAGUAAAUGUUGGGCACACAACGGAAUAAAAAGAAUUUAAUUGCACGACAAAAUUGGAAUUAAUUAUACUUUAUCGUAUCAACCAUUUCAUUUAUGGGGCCAAGAUAACUAUAUUCUUAAAUUUUUCUAGAUCAGAUGCAUGGUAGUGUUUUCCACUAUAGUUACAAUACGAUUACAUCUCAUAUAAAAAUAUCUUCCGAUAAUGUCAAUCCUCCCUUCCCCCAAGUUAUAUAUAUAAAAACCUAAAAAUAUAUAUGCAUAUAUUGUGGGGAGCAGUUGGCAGUGCUGCUUUGAUUGGAAAUAACAACCAAUAAUCGAUUUUCCUAAUUAUUAAUUAGUAUAGUAUUCAAUUUUAGCUUACGCUAUAACAACUAAAUAUCUAUCCUUGCAAACAAUUAGUGCAAAUCUAAUUGUUUUCAUGAUACAUCUGGAGCUAGAUUAACACUUUUUCCUGAACUUGGAACAAGACUUUUGUGGGCUUCUGCUCCAGAUUGAAUUUAUUUUUCUCUUCUUUGAUAUCUAUAAUUUUGGUUCUUGCUUUUUGAGGAGAGAAAAUUUGAUGGGAUCUUCCAGCACUGCGCCAAAACGGGGUAACCGCAUUCCUCAGAGAGAUGGUUAGUGGAUUCUAACCUUGUGUUUCAGGUUGUUGUUUUUCUUGAGUUUCUGUAAGAUGAAAAUAAACUGAGUUUUUCAUUUUUGGUGAUUUGGAACUUUUGUGUUUGAGAUAACAAAUUUUUAAUGUUUUCGUUACACAAAUAUUAAUAUAUAGUACGUGAAAUUAUAUUUUUUAGCUAGUUACUGUUGUUGUUUUUAUGCAUAGGGAUGUCCAGUUAUGUCAAUGGAUCUAGGACCCAGUCCAUAUCCUCGAAUCCCAGAUCCAUAUGUUUUUUUAGAUCUAAACCUUCCAAACAUAGCAUUCAACUGAUCUGGAUUGGAUCUGGGCUGGGCGAUGAUGAUUUGGAUUUGGAUGAUGAUUUUUGUGUAAAUCCUAUACAUUCGUCUACGAAAGAACUUCCUAAAAGGAGUUUAAAAUUAUUUAAGUCCACUAUCUUAAGACGGUUUGCAAAAAUAGGCCAAUAUAUUUCGAACUUGCAAAAAUAGGCCAAUUAUUUUAAUUUUUAGUAUUUUUGGGCCACAUUUCGGCAUUCAUAUGCCACAUUUUUCGGUCAAAGUGUGGCCAAAAAAUCUGAUUGGAUUCAAAUGUGGCUCAAAAAUACUAAAAAUUAAAAUAAUUGGCCUAGUUUUGCAAGUCCAAAAAUAUUGGCCUACUUUUGCAAAUCGCCCUAAGAUAAUGGCCUUAAAUAAUUUUAAACUCUCCUAAGAGGGAGUGACACGAGUUUAAGGAAAAAAAGUAGUUGAGUGUAUUAAAAGUGGAGAAAAAAGUUGUUGAGUGUAUUGAGAAUGAUGAAAAAUUGUUUUAAUUAGUAUUGAGACUCAUAUAUUUCAAAAAUAAGCAGGAAGUUCUUUUGUGAACGUCCCAAAAAGGAAAAGUAUGAAGUUUUUUCGUGGACGUAGGAACUAUAUAUUAUUUUUUAUUUUAUUUUUAACUAGAAUUAAUUGUUGCAGAAGAAGGAGAUGACGAAGAUGAAUAUAUAGAACAACUUAAGUGGCAGAUUUGUAAUACGUAUCGAGAAGAUCUCUCGACUGUCUUAAUCACAGGCAUGGCUGGUAUUGGAAAGACAAUUCUUGCUAGACAAGUAUACAACCACGAACAUGUCGUUGCUCAAUUCCAGUGCCGUGCUUGGGUGUGUGUUACUGACUUGACUGGGAAAGAGGUACUUAUGAAACUAAUACAACAGGUAUUAAACAGUUAUAAACUCGAAAGAGAUUCCUUGAUAGAGAAAAUGGAGCGUGGAGACAAUAAAAGUCUCCAAGAGAUGCUUCACCAACACCUGAAAGGAAAGCGAUAUUUCAUAGUUCUCGACGACGUGCCCAAAGAAAUGAACUGGGAAUCUAUCUGGAAAGGUCUUCCAAAUGAAAGUAUGUUCCUCUUUGUGUUAGUUAAUCUUAUGUCCUAGCAUUUUUAAGUUUCAUCUCAUGUGAAAUUUUCAUUUAUCCAUAUACAUAAAAACUCAACAGUACUUAGUAGCAUGGUAGGUGAUACUAGUACCAAAAGAACUACUAAAACAAUAAAGAACUUAAUUUAUGCCAGAAACUGGUUGCCUAGUUCGGUGUUAAUACAUCUAUAUCUAGAGGACCUUGCCUACGGAAAAUAAUCCACUAACUGAUGUUAAGAUACUGAUGAACUUACACAAUAAAACUCCUUCUUUCUAUGCCUUUAUAUCUUUCUAAAACUUCACCCACGUGGAUGGUUGGAAGCAAGUCCAUGACUUACCUAGACAUGAACUCACUUUGGUCUCUAAUCCCUUGUACUCUCUACAUCCUACUAUAUCUUGGCCUAGUUCUUCUCGGCACAGUUAUUUCAGAGGAAAUGUGUAUUGUCUAUAAAGUGUUAUGCCCACUUGUUUGUGUAAAUUAGUGACCCUUAUUUUUGCCGAAAACGAAUUAGGCCAUGUCAAAUGGUUAGACCGAAAAUAAAUGCUGGCCAAUGUGAGACGGGACAGAGGGAGUAAAACUUAAUUUAUUAAACACUUGGUAAAGAAAUAGACUCUUUACCAAGAUCUAAACAACACUAUCUUAACAACUAGACCGAAGUCUUAUUGCCAAAACCAAGGUGUGAACAUAUAAUAAACCAACAACUCAAAGACUCAAGGUAUGCAUAAGUGAUCUUCAUGCCUCCAUAAUCAGAAUUGUCUUGCAAAACCCUAAUCCACCCUCCUUGAGUGAAGAGCAGUCAACCCUUGAUGAGAUAUACUCCAUAUCUUCAAUCAUCAAAAAUCUCAUCGACUAAUUACCAAACAAAAUGGGGGGCAAAAUUGCAACUCCAACAAUCAUAGUCUUUUUGUCUAAUAAUAUGAUUUUGCAUACUUUUAAAUAGUGGCUACGAUGUGCCAUCACACACGUCAUUUUACUCCCCCGCCGGUUAUCUUACUUCAAUCAUACGGCUAGCUAUGUCAGCAAUAAAUUUUGUCGAAAUCUUAAUUGAUAGCUAAAUUAGAUUUAAUCAAUAGUUCAAUAAUUUCCACGCUAAUAAGGAACCAUUAUUGAUCCUCUUUAAAUGAAGAGGAAAAAAAACCUAUUUUUUGUAGUCACAGAGGAAUUAAUUGUGAUAUUUCAUACCAUAAUAUUUUCUUUAUGUAGAAAAAGGAAGUAAAUUGCUGCUCACGAGUCGCAUUAAGAAUACACAAAGAGACCCCUUCUCUUUGCAUGAGAUGAAAAACAGUAUCGAUUAUACUUAUUUUAUGCAACCUCUAAAUCCUGAGGAGAGCAGGCAAUUUUUUUCGAAAACAAUAUUCUGUGGCAUUGAUAAAUCACACGAAUUCCCAAAGCAUUUGAUGAAAAUAGGGAGGGACAUGUUGACACUGUGUGGCGGUGUGCGGUUAGCUAUAAAAGAGAUGGGAAUGCAGUUAGCAGAAAAGAAACGAUUAGGGAGUGAAUGGGAGCAUCUUCUUCAACCAACUCCUUGCCAUGCACUUUUGGAGGCUAUCAUGUUAAUGACAAUACAAAGGCUAGACAGCGGUUCAGAUUAUUGGGUUAAUCUGGAAGAGGUGAUUAAUGUCCUUAAAAUGAUGGUGGAUUUCGUGAGAGACAAGAAAUUGGAAGAGGGAAGCAGGCUGUAUUAUUUCAUAUGCGACGUCGUCGACAUGGCUCACUAUAUUGGGAAGAAUAGGCCCAUUUCUAAAAAUAAUGAAAAGUCUAUCCUAAGAUGGACCAGCGAGGUCAAGAUGAGCAUGCUCCAAGGGGCGGAGACAGAGUACUCGUCGUGUAAAUCAGAAAGCUUUGGAGAAGGAGACGGAGAUGGAGAUGUGGUGGGGUUGGAGGAAGACGUGGAUCUGCUGCUUCGCAGAGUGAUUUCUAAUGGGGAACUAAACAGCUAUUUGAUCACAGGCAUGACUGGUAUUGGGAAGACAGCUCUUGUAAGAAAAGUGUACAACCAUUCAGACGUCGUUGAUCAAUUCGAUAGGCGUUUUUGGGUAUGUUGUUUUACUAACUUCAGUCAUAAGAAAAUAUUGAUGAAGAUAAUACAGCAGGUGGUGGAUUGUGAGGAAUUCGAAAGGGAUUCUUUAUUGGAGAAAAUGGAGUGUCCAGAAAACUUUUGUGUGGGAGAGAUGCUUCGCAAACAUCUCGAGGGAAUGCGAUAUUUGAUAGUUCUUGAUGACUUUCCAAAAGAAAUGUGCUUGGAAUAUAUCUUGAAAUUUCUUCCAUUUGGAGGUAUGCUCAUGCUUUUACUUAUCUUGGUAUUCCUAUUAUUUGUGUUCAUGUCAUGUUGCUAACUUAGAAUGAGCAUCCUUCUUAGAAUAAGAGAUUAAUUUAAACUAAAUGAUCAACUAUAUGAUGUUGAGGAUUUAAUUAGUUUCAAUUAUCCAUAACUAUAUAAAUUAGGGUUAAUUGCAUAUAGUAUCCUAUUUCCUAUGUCCCAUAAUUUAUUGUAUCUCACCAUGUUUCACUAUUAAUUUAGCUAUUUUAUACUCCCUCCAUUGCAUUUAACAUGACCCAUUUGCUAUUUUGGGUUGUCUAAUUACAAAUGGUUCAUUUAAAAAAGAAAACUCCUUUAUCUCACAAAAAGUUGUAAACUUCACAACUUUCUAUCACUUAAUUUUAUCUUUUAAUCACUCUAUUUUUUAAUAUCCGUGCUCAAGGGUAAGGAGCCAUACUUAGUGGGAGAGAGGGAGGGAAUAAUUGUUUGAUAAAAAAAAAAUUGUUGUAUAAUAAACUCUAAUUAAUUAACUCUAAUACUCAAUUAUUCAAUCAUAUACGUAUAGAAAAAAAAUUAUAAAACUAAUUGGAUGAGUACUGAACCCAUAUUAAUUAUCUUAAAAUUAGACUAAAAUAUACUCCCUCCGUCCACUAAUUGUUGGCCUAGGAGGCAAAACACGGGUUUUAAGAAAAAAAUGUAUUUUUAUUAGUUGAGUGGAGAAAGGGACCCACAAUUGUGAUUAAAAUAUGAAUAUAAACUUACCCAAAAUAGAUAGGACAUAAAUUGGCGGACGGACCAAAAAGGUAAGUAGGCCAACAAUUAGUGAACGGAGGGAGUAAUAAAUUAAAAUUAAAGAAAAAAGAUAAUAAAAAACUUUAACAAAAUAGAAAUUGAGACACGGAAUGGGACAACAAAUUAGGACAGAGGAUCUCAUGUGGGUUACGCGCUUGUAAAUUCACGAAGUAUAUUUAUAAUUUUCAAGCAACACUAUUUUUUUGUUCAAUAAACACAUAAACUUUGAACCUUUCGGAAUUAAGCUAGAAUUAAAUUUUCGGCAACAUUUUAUCCUAUGCAUGUCGAUGGAAUAAUUUUCCUAGUUGAGUAGUAUUCUGAAUGUCCCUUGUUGUGUAAGCAGUUAAAGGAAGUAGGUUGCUUCUCACAAGUCGAUUUGCGUAUAAAGAUGUGAACAUCGGUUAUACUCAUUGGGUGAAAACUUUGGAUCCUCGUAAGAGCUGGCAAUUGCUUUUGAAUGCAAUACCAAGUGACCUCAAAUUCCCAAAGCACUUGGAGAAAAUGGGGAAAGAAAUGUUGAGAAAAUGCGACGGUCUGCCAUUAGCUAUAAUCGAGGUGGGCAAACAGUUAACAGAAAGGAGACCAUUGAAAGAGAUUGAAUGGGAAGAAGCUCUUAAAUCCAUCGAUUUCGGCGCAUUACUGCCGUUAUUUGAGUUCAGUUAUCAAAAAAUGGAUCCAGAAUCUAGGCCAUGUUUCUUGCAUCUGGCCUUCUUUAAGGAAUAUACAGGUAUUAGGACAGGAAAGUUGGAACAUGUUUCGGCUAUAGUAAGAAAGGUCUCAGAAAACCAAAUUAGAUCAUAUGUGAGUAUCUUAGCUCAGGAAUGCUUUGUCGAGAUCAAGGACAAGAAGAGUUGUCGCGUCAAUGCUAUACUACACAUGCUAUCCAUCAAGAAAGCAGACGAGGAAAUAGGUCUUGAGAUCCUAAGGAGCAAUGGAAAUAAUCGACCCUCUGAGAGUCCUCGUUAUCAUUUGUAGCAGAGACAAGUUCAGCUACUCCACGGAUCAUGAUAAACAUCUUGUUUCUCUCUUCUUCCAUGGAGGUGGCUACUUGGACGCCAGUCCAUCUUACUGGAAGAGCUUUGAACUACUUAAGAUAGUUGAUUGGGAAGAUUUUGGGCUGAAGAAUUUGCCAGAAAGUGUUAUUGACACAAUGAUGGGAUUAAGAUACUUGGUAUUGAGAAACAAUUACAUACAAAAGCUCCCACUCUCGUUGGGGAACUUGAAAGAGCUUGAGAUUCUUGAUAUAGCUCUCAACUUUAUGGUGGAGGUGCCAGAUAUUAUAUGGGAAAUGUGUAGCCUUCGUCACCUCUACAUGUCUGAUGUGAUUAGCCGAGAGCCUUUGAAGAUUGACACACUGGAGAAUCUGGAGAGCUUAACCUACAUCUCUUUUGAUGAUUGGAAGUAUGAGUUCUCAGGCAUGGAAAAAAUGAGCCGUCUCUACAAACUUGGCAUUGAACAAAUUGAUACAAGCUCGGAUGCAAGCAAGCUUUUUGCUUCGUUGCAGGUUGAGCUGAAGAAUCUUGAAACCCUAAUCUUAAGAGGGUUUCGUUUCAGAAGCAUGCCUUGUUUGGAAAACCUUGGUAUUCUACGAAGUAUUCGUACACUCAAACUAGAAGGGCUCCUUCCUAGGUUACCAAUGGCCUCUAAUUUCCCUCGAUAUCUUGAAUCAUUGACGUUGGUUAAUAGCUGUCUUGAUGAAGACCCCAUGCCACUACUAGCCGCGAGGUCACCCGUCCUUAGGCACCUUAAAUUGCGGAAUGCAUACACUGGUCAAAAAAUGGUGAUCUCGAAAUACAUGAAUCACCUCGAGGUCUUGUGCAUGGAAGAGCUGUGGAAUGUGAGAGAUUUACAAGUUGGAAAAGGUAGACUGUCAAAUCUCAAGAAUUUAGAGAUCAAGAAUUGUCCAUACCUGGAGACGCUUCUGGAAGAGAUUGGGGAGAUGAGAAAGUUGGAGGAGUUAAAGAUGGUGACAACCAAAACCAUUGCAACACAGAUCAGAAACUCACACUUAAUCUCCGAAAUAAGGCAGCGUUCUUUAGAUUUUCAGUUGCAUUUGAAUAGUGAUAACUAAGAAUUACCUGUUAAAUACGGAAUUCAGCAUUGAUCACGGUCAUUGUAACUCGUACUUAUGCUCCCCAUUCCCCCAUCCCAAUUCUUCCCUGCAAAUAACCUUAAACCCCCCCCCCCAAACAGAUUACUCAUCCCCAGCGCUGCCCCCUAGCCCCCAGGCCCCAACCCCUUCUACUAAUUGUCUCCAUCACCACUUCUAGCCUCCGCCUCUGCUUAUCUGCAAAUAUUUUGAUUUUUAAUGAAAAUUUUGAAAAUUGAUGAUGCAAGUGGUGGUUUCCGGCAACGACGAUAUAGGCGCCUAUGCUGGCGCGAGAUUGGGAAGGUACGGACUGGAUUUUGAUUUUGUUGGGUGUUUCGAAAAUUGAUGUUGCAUACAGUGAUACAGGCCGCGCCAGCUUCGUCCAACGGCGGUGAAACGUCCCAAUUUUCAUAAACUUUGCAAUCUAAAAUUUUAAAAACUAAAAGAUAAAAUAAAAUUUUUUGACUAUCAAAAUUUAAACUAAUUUCAAAAAUCAAUUUGCCAAAACUAAAGUAGUAACAUAAAAAAAAAUAUAAGAAAAAUAAAAUAAAACGAUAAACUAAAACUUAACAAGUUCAACUUAAAUUUUCUAUGCAAAAUCUUUAUCUUUAAUCAUUAUUGACUUCCAUGGCCACCUCGACUUCAGAACUGUAAAACUGAAAAGAUAAGGGAUGAGCAUAUUAAAAUAUACUCAGUGAGGAACUAUGCACAUAUUCACAUAAGCUUAAACAUGCAAAUAAUUCACAUUGUCAUACACAUAUACUGAUAAUUUAAUGGACGAACUGAAAGCUCCUGAACAUGUAUUUCAACAUGGCUGAAAUUCUGAACAUGUAUUUCUACAUGGCUGAGCAAGUAUAAACAAACAUGAAAUAAGAGCAUAUAAAAACAUAUAUGAGUAUAACCACAAGCAUAUAAUCCCUCACCUUAAUGGCAUAGAUAAUAAAGUCAACAAAUUCCAAAAUGGAAAACUUAAAUGCACCACACCUAAUUAAAUAGAUAAAACGCUUUAAUAUGAAUCCUACUAUAACUUAAAUUAAAAUCCUAUAUCAAAUCUUAUAUAACUAAAUAUAUAUACUCAAGCAUAAAAAAAAUAUAAACCAUUUAGAAUUAAACUAAUUUUUCAAAAAUCUAAGAAUUGAACCAAUUUUUACAAUUAAAGAAAUUUAAUAAGUUUUCAAAAAAAUAUCAAAAAUCCUACAAUACCAUAAACUAAAGUCCUAUAAACCAAAUUAUAAAAUUGUGUGUGUAGGGGUGGGCUACCAUGAAAACACUCUUAAGUGUAUAAAAUAUGGAUAAAAUCCAUCCGUCUAUUACACUUAAAUCAAUGGCCCAAAUCUUAGAUUUAGUAGACUGAUGAUUCUUGGUGGUUACACCUAUAAUUCGUAAUGGUAAUAGGAAUAAGGGUAUAAUUGACACACUAAAAACUUGAAGAUAUGGAAAGAUCUUUUAAAUGAUUCUCUCGCCCAUAGAUAUGGAAAGAUUUCUUUUCCGUAUCAUAAAUGAUUUCUGUGAGAAUGAACAAAUUAUAUUAACUAAUAAAUUGAAGAUCGGAUAUUUUGAAUUAGGAGAAGAUUAAAAAUUGGUUUAACAUUUACUCUUGUGAAUUCUGAAUUGUGAAGUAUAUUUCUUUGAUAUCACGAAUUUUUAAUUUUGUGAUUACGAAUCUGAUACAUAGUGUUAGGAAUUAAUUUGUUAUAUGAAUCCGAAUUAGUUUUGUUCUAAUCUAUACUAUAUUAAAACAGCAGUUUUCAAUUAGAAAUUGAUUUCAAAUCAAUUUGAAAUUGAUUUGAAUGGCAAUUUUGAUAAUACUUUUAAUAUGAAGGUUAAAAAAAAUUAUUAACACCACUAACUCAUUUCACACGUUCACACUAAUUCAACAAAAAUAUAUUAAUUACUUAGAAAACACUAUUCAAAUAUAUUUAUUCAAUUUGAUUUUCUUUUAAAUUCAUCAACUUUAAUUUAUAAAAAAAUAUUCAAUAUGGAUGUUAAAUUAAAGAUAAUGACGAUAUCUUUAAUUUGAUGUAAAAAUUAUAAAAAAUAAAUUUAAAACCAAUAAGUUAUUAUAGUUUAAAGUCACCAAAUUAUUUUUUUCUCUCUCCUCUCUCUUCUCUCCUCUAUCAUCUCCUCUCUCACUUCUCAUUUUUUAAAAUUCACGGUUCUUUCAUUCCUUUUUCCAUAUUUUUUAUUUAUUUUUAUGUUUUACUAUAGAUCAGUAUUUUUUAUAUUUUACUAUUUAUAUUUUUAUUAUAUCAGUUUAAUGCAAUUACAAUGAUGAAAUUUAUAUUUGUUCAUUUUAGAAAUCUUUAGCUUAAAAAUAUUUUUUUAAAGGUCAACUUUAUAUUAAUAUAAAUUUGUAGAUAAAUAACUAAUAUAUAGUAUAUCUUAAAAAUCGAAUUUUUAAGCUUCAAAAUUACUCAUUGGAAAAUCAGUAAUUAGAGAACCAUUAUCGAUUUUCUUUAAAAAUAAAAAAUAAAAGUAAAUUGAAGAGUUUAAUUUUUUAGUAGCACAUUUAUUUAAAUUUACUGAAAUUGUAUACAUUUUAUUUUGGAAAAUGAACGAUACAUAUCUCAUGUUAAACCCUUUAUUUUUUCACUUUCCAAUUGAAAAAAAAAUGUAUACAUUGUAACUUUAUUUUUAAAUUUGAGCAUAAACAAAAUGACCUCAUAAAUAUGCAUUCGAAAACUAUAUUAAACUACAGUUAUACUAUAUGUAAAUAAAUAGUUUUGUACAUCUUAGAAUAUUAUAUGAUCCAUAAUGAUACUCAUUAUCAUCUAUACUUGCUUUUGAUAUUUCAUAAUUUAUUUAUUUAUAAAUUUAUACACAUUAUCAAUUAAAUCAAUUAAUUGCUAUUUCAAUAAUUGAAAAUUCGAAUGUUUUCAGAUUGAUAUUUUUAUUGAGAUUAUAUUGUGAAUAAUUUAUUUUUUAUUGAGAUCAUUUAUGUUUAUAUUUACUUAUAUAUAUAUAUAUAUAUUAUGUUUAACUAUUUUUAUUUAUUUAUUUAAAUUAUCGUUCAAUUUCGAUGAUGGUCGUGCAUCGCACGAGCGGGCACAUACUAGUCUUACAAAUUUUUAAGUUUGUAUUAAAAAACUAAUUUUGGUGAAUGAAAUUAAUUUGUUAUAUGAAUCUGAAAUAGUUUUCGUUUCUAAUAUUCCGAAUUUUUUAGUUUGUGAUUACGAAUCUGAUUCAUGGUGCUAGGAAUUAAUUUGUUAUAUGAAUCUGAAUUAGUUUAGUUCUAAUCUUACGAAUUUUUAAGUAUGCAUUACGAAUCACAUGAUGAUGAAUAGUUUUGUGAAGUUCAAUUUUUGGAUUACGAUUUUUUUUUAUGAUACAAGAAAAUUUUUAAUUCUAGGUUAGAUGUGUUUAAUAGGUGGGGUAACAUGUUUAAUGAUUAAUAAAUAAAUGAAAAAAAAAGAUUUGGUCACUAAAACAAGAAGAUUUGACGAAAAUAAAUAGGAAGAAAAUUACUAGCUUGUCCUCUACAUCAUUUUCGUAUUUUAUUUAAUAAAUUAUUAAGCUAAUUUCAAGCCAUUAGAUCAAUCAAGAUCAAAUGGACAAGAUUCAUCCAUAUUUUAUACACUUAAAAGUGUUUUUAUUAUAGCUCUCCCCAUAUAUAUAUGUAGGGAAGGGCUACCGUGAAAACACUUUUUUAAAAUAAAAAUAAAAAUAUUUCUCAAUGUACGAAUUUUAUGUAGAACAUGUGUGAAUUCAUCCAACUGAGUUAUGAAUUGUGAAAAAUAAAUUUUUGCUACCUUUGGGAUUCGAACUCAGGACCACGAAUUCAUCCAACAGGGUUACGAAUCAACCGUAGAUCUUGAUGAUCUAAGGNUUUAAAUUUACUGAAAUUGUAUACAUUUUAUUUUGGAAAAUGAACGACACAUAUCUCAUGUUAAACCCUUUAUUUUUUCACUUUCCAAUUGAAAAAAAAAUGUAUACAUUGUAACUUUAUUUUAAAAUUUGAGCAUAAACAAAAUAUAUUAAUUACUUAGAAAACACAUUAAUUAUCGUAUACAUUGUAACAUUUUUAUUUAUUUAUUUAAAUUAUCGUUCAAUUUUGAUGAUGGUCAUGCAUCGCACGAGCGGGCACAUACUAGUUAACAUGUAAUUGGGUAAUUAGCAUUAUUUUUUUUUAUUAUAACAAACAUAGCAAUUUUUCCCAAUUGGACGCGAAUCGUAUCAUAUGAACAUAUAUAAAAAUGUCGAUGUGCAAUUCACAUUUAACUAUUAUGCAGAAAAGGACAAGAAGUUAUGCAAGUUUAAAUUAUUAUUUAUGCAACUAGCACAUUUGUAAAAAGAAGCAUUAUUAUAACAUAAGAUUUUUAUAAUUAUAAAAUUAUAUUCGUGUAAUCAUAUGCUACUCCAAUAUACGUAGUAUCCAAUAUCAGUGGUGGAGCUAUGUACAUGCUAGGGUGGGUUGAAGCCCACCCCGAAUUUUAAAAAAAUAUAUAUUUUUUUGUUUUUAUUAUUCAUAAAUAAUAAAUAAAUAGAGAGAAUAGAAGAUUUUCUCAACAAUUGAUAGUGAGAAGAUAUUGCAAUGUUUUUAAUUAAUCGAUGAAUAUACACGUUGAAAUUAAUUGUCAUUAUUUUUUCAACAAAAACAACUAGCUUACAAAGUAUUUAUUCUUAAGUUCUUUGUAAUGUAUUGAAACUAUAUAAUCUAUGAAAAUAUUGUUUAUAAUUAUUAAACUUUUUUAAUAAAAAAUAUUUAAAUAAACGAAAUGCCCAACAAAAAAUUUCUCGGGGGCUGUAACUCCGUACAUGUUUAUUCUUAAUAUAUUAGACACAUAUGUCGAAAGGAUGUCAUAAGAAUGUUGACAUAAUUUGAAGCACUCCAAAACCUUGAAAUACAAAGCAACGUAACAUGCUAUUAAAUCUCAGCUUCAACUUUGCAGCAUCUUAAACCCCUUCUUCUUAUUUUUCUUCGUCUUCUUCCAGAUAUUAUUCAAUUUAUCUUCGAAUUAAUAUAAUACACGAUGAAACAUUAUUAUGCAGAUUGGUCUGUUGUUAAUUUCCAAACCCCGUUUGGUUAUUAUUCUAGUGGAGAAUGUGUUCCAAACUUUACACUGGGUAACUAUUCUAUCUCUUGAUUCGAUCUUGAUUUCUAUUUCAUUUUAUUGAUCCAAAUUAUUUGCACAAUCUGUAUGUGUAUACAUAUGUGCACUGAUGAAAAUAAAAAGAUUUUUAUUAGCAAAGGAAUAUAAAAUUUGAGCUUUUCUAAAGACUCUCAUAUGCAUCUAAAGCAUUUUUUUUUAGUAUGUGUUGCCAAGCGGUGGAGUGGUUAUUGGUUAAUUCUCAAGGCCAAAGUUUUUGGGUUCAAGUCAACUGUACUGCGGUCUUUAAUUUUCUUUAUUUUAAUUAUUAAGUUAUCAAAAACAAAAAUUAAUAAAGCAAUACUGUUUUAAAAGUAGUGUUGUAAUUAUAAUGUAUUUAGUUUACAUAAUUCGCCUUCUUAAUGCUCCAAGGAGAUGUUUGGUUUGAGUGAUAAAACAUGAUUGAUAAAAUAAUUUAUUUUAAUCAAGUGUUUGGUUUGCAUGAUUGAGCCUAUAAUUGAUAAUACGGCCUGCAUCUAACCAUCCAAUUGAGUGAUUAUUUAUCACCCCAAAUUAAAUUGGAUGAAUUAUUUAAUCACUCUUCCAAUCCUAUCAGUUUUAUCUAUCUCGAUCUACCAAACAAAACUCCCCCCAAAUGUCUUAUUAUGCCGUACAAAUUUAAUGAUCGAUCAAGAGAUAUAACUAUAUAUUCAUUUGAUUCACACACCCAACUACUGAAUUAAUUCCUUUUUCGAAAUUCACAUUUCAUAUAUUCUACUAAAGUACAUCUUAUGGCUGACUCACAUAGUAUACAUAUAUAAUAGAACAUACAAUAAUAAAAAUAAAUAUAAAAUUAUAAAAAAAAUCGAAAUGAAUGAUAUUGGUAGAGAAGCCUUUGAUCAUGUUAAAAGAUGAAGUGGAGAUGUAGAGCAGAAUUGCAACCAAGUUUUAGAGAUAGGGUCUUAUCUUUUCAUCACCAUUUCACCACAUCAUUCACUCACUCUUCGGUCCACCGCGUAUUUUUUGCUUCAACAUUUUUCUUUAUUUUAUUCAAAAAAUUAAUAUCCACUUAUUUUGUGGUCGUUUACAUAUCUCUUAAUACAUGUCACCUCGAGCUAUAGCUAGAUAUUUUAUUUUUCUUGUCAAAUCAUAUAUACUCCAACUUCAAUUUCAAUCACUUCAACUAAUUAUUUUCGACACGAUUGUUUAAUACAAUAAAAUUUAUAAUGUAAAAUAUAUGAACUCAGUUAUAAUAAAAAUUUAUUAUUAAAAAAGAAAAUAGGGAGUCAGAUGGAGGGAGUACAUACAUUAUUAGCUAAUUAUCUUUAUGAUAGACUUGAUAGUAUUUGCAAAUAGAAACUAGCUAGCUAGCUCCUAACCUCGUACAUAUUAUAUUUGAAUAUUAAUUCUGUAAUUACAGUUCGCCUAAAAAAAUUCUGUAAUUACAAUUAACUAAUGUACCUGCAUUAACUAUGUGAUGUAUGCCAUUAAUUAUGUAAUUAAUGGCAUAUAUAUUACUUAAAAAAACGGUAUAUAUAUGAUCAAGAGGAAUUAUAAUACACAAACCCGUGUUUCAUAUAACUUCUACGCCAUGCAUGAUAAAUCUUGCGCUCACUCGAUAAUAAAAUUAGUACUAGUAAUUACUUUUCUAGCUUGUCUUUAGAUAUAUUCGACACUAAAUAUAUUAAUCAAUUAAGAGGUAGAAUAAAAAAAGAGAUAUAAAUCUUACAAGUGCCAUUAAAUUCGCCAUAAACAAUAUAUAGUGUAGAAAUUCAUCCAAAUAAUUUAUUUGAUUUCAAAUUUCUUCCACUAUUCUAUCUUUCUUGAUCACUCCCAUAUAACGUAAGAUGAAAUUUGAGGUCAAAAAUUGAAACCCAGCAUCCAAACCUAAUCUCCGAGUAAUAGAAGCUGUGGUUCACUCACCUUUCCCUUUCAUUAUCCAUUGUAUUUAAAUUUACAUGCAUGCAUUUCUCUCUCUAGAACUGUCUUCCCACCUUUCUCAAUAUAAAGGCGCCCAAAUCCGACCCCCAUUGAGCAAUGUCGACUGUCAACGGCUGCCUCGCCUCCCAAAUCUUCACCGCCACCGCCUCCUCCCGCUCUAGAGUUGCCCUCCGCCCCGUUGUCACCGCCCGCCUCAACUCCUCUCCGCCCAGCCUCAUCCGUAACGAGCCCGUCUUCGCAGCUCCGGCUCCGAUCAUCCACCCACUCUUGGUACGUACAAUGUAUCCACUACAAGAAAAUUGCUAAUACAAAUUUAUUUUUAACCAGCUAGUGGUUUUGUAGGUGUCAUGAAAAAGUGCUGAAAGAAACCGGUUAAAAACCGGUGUCGUAGGCCAGUUUUUAACCGGUUUCUUUCAACUCCCUUUUAAGAGGUGCAUUUUACGUUUAUAUAAACACUGCUACACGGGCACACUAAUAAAUACCGAUUAAAAAUCGAUUUCGUAAAUACCUACACAUCUCUCUCACUAAUAUAUGCCACAUUAUGACGUUCAAGUUCUCUCUCACUUAUAGUAUUUGAUUUUCACUAAUACGUAUGUAACACGUGUUGUGAAAGCCUACUACUAAUAUUAAUGCGAGACUUCAUUUGACUAGUCAUCGUCUAUUAUAUAUAUAUNAUAGUGAGAACUAUAAUUUUCAUAAAAAACAUGAGAAUCAUUAAAAUUAUUGCAUUUGUUGUAAGAAGUAAUAUAUUCGUUGUUAAAUGACUUGGACUAAAAAAAUUCGCUCAUUUCAAAAUUUGAACCCAGAUGAUACAUUAAUUCACCAAGACGAUACAUUCACCAUAAAUUUUAAUGAUCGAAUAGCUGAAAAUGGUUCUCCAUAUUUAUUUUAUUUAGUAACUUCUCCCUAUAUCUAUAUCUAUCUAUCUAUAUAUAUAACAAAGUUGAGAUAAAAUUUGUAAGUCUAUGAUCAGGAAUUAUGCCACUUGCAUGCAUAAGUAGGUGAGUAGUUCACGAGAAUGUUCCAAUUAGUGCAUGCACUAAAUUUAAUACGUGUCGUUGGUUGAAUGCGUUGCAGUGAACUGAAAACUUGCUAUAUAUAGUAUAUCUAUAACAACCUUACGUCUAUGCAUUGUCGCAUUAUAACACUGCAUGAAUUACCGAGUUUCACUAGAAUUACGCUCCAAUUUUUAUGUUAGUUUUUAAUUUUUCUAUAAAUUCCGCCCAUUUUUCUUCUCUAAAAUUCACAUUCAUAUAUAUAGCAAAUUAGUUACGCUCCAAUUUAAAUGUUAGUUUUAAUUUUAUUUUUUCUAUAAAUUCCGCUCAUUUUUCCUCUCUAAAAUAUGAAAGUAAAUUAAUUACACUCCAAUUUAAAUGUUAGGUUUAAUUUUUUCUAGAAAUUCCGCUCAUUUUUUCUUCUCUAAAAUUUAUAUUCAUACAUAAUUCUCUCAAUAUUUUCUAAUAAGAUUGAAAUUUUGCAGAAAGAAGACAUGGGAAAGGACUCGUACGAAGAAGCCAUUGCUGGACUCCAGAAGCUUCUGAGGUUUGCUCUCUCUCUCUCUCUCUCACACACACACACACACACAAACUGCGUUGUGAGGUAUAUACUUGCCAGAAAUUGUAUUUUAAUUAGAAACAAAACAAAAAAUUGAUUUGAGAGAAGAAAUUCAUGAUUUAAGGUGUGAUAUAUAUGCAGUGAGAAUGGAGGGCUAGGACCGGUGGCAGCGGCGAAAAUCGAGGAGAUCACGGCGGAGCUUAAAACAGCUGACGGCAGCGCCAGCAUCUCAUCGGAGUCAGUUGAGAGGCUGAAAACUGGCUUCGUCACCUUCAAAAAAGAGAAAUACGAGUAAGCCAACACAUCGAUCAAACUUGGUUUAAUUUAUUUAUUUACAAUGCUAAAAAAAAAUGAAUUGCUAACAUCGCAUUGAUCUUAAAAAUUUAAUUCAGGAAAAAUCCAGCUCUGUACGGUGAACUCGCCAAAGGCCAGAGCCCCACGGUACAUAAUUUAUAGUAAUUUUUUUUUUGUAAAAUUUAAUUUAAUAUGGAAUUCCUAUUUUUUUGGAAUAUUUCUCAAAGAAGCAAAUUAAUGUAAUUGUGUACGUAUAUAUAUGCAGUACAUGGUUUUCGCAUGUUCAGACUCGCGCGUGUGCCCCUCGCACGUGCUAGACCUUCAACCAGGUGAAGCAUUCGUCGUCCGUAACGUCGCUAACCUGGUCCCACCAUUCGACCAGGUUUGAAAAUUAAUUAAUAUUUGAUGCUUAUUAAUCAUUUUCUGUUGUUAAAUAACUAAAAUAAGUCAUUUUAAAAAUGAUGAUAAUUAUCAUUUCAGACCAAAUACGCUGGAGUGGGGGCUGCUGUUGAGUAUGCCGUUCUGCAUCUGAAGGUGAACAAAUUUAAUUAUUUGGCAUCUAUUUCUAACACCAAACUUUAAUUAAUAUUGGUGGAGUUUUGAAUUUAUUGAGAUGGAGUAUUAAUUUUGGUGCAGGUGAAGGAGAUUGUUGUGAUUGGGCACAGUGCGUGUGGAGGGAUCAAGGGAGUCAUGUCCUUCCCAUAUGAUGGAUCCUCUUCCACGUAAGCACUAUCUCAUGACAACUCACCUUUUUCUAAUGUUUAGUAUUAUUGAAGUUGCUUACUUAGAUCAUUUAAUUAUAAAAUCAUGGAUAUUUAUUUAUUUCAUUCAUAGCUACUUAUCAAUAAUGUACCAUAUUCAAACUUAAUGUAUUUAAUUGAUGAGUUUGAAUAAAUCGAGUUGAACUUGUGUAAGCUCAUACAUAACUUGGUUUUUUGAAUAAUUAAUGUUUAUGAGAGAGAGUGAUGAUGGUAUGUUUGUUUAGUGACUUCAUCGAGGACUGGGUGAAGAUUGCAUUACCUGCGAAGAACAAGACGCUGGCUGACUGCGGCAAAGACGCACCAUUCGGCGAGCUAUGCACCACAUGUGAAAAGGUCCAUUACACAUUAAAACACAAACAUAUCAUAUGUAUUUCUUAUUUCAUUGAUGUUUUAUUUAAUCCUGGCAGGAGGCGGUGAACGUGUCGCUGGGAAACCUCCUCUCCUACCCAUUUGUGAGGGAAGGAUUGGUGAAGAAGACUCUUUCAUUGAAGGGUGGCUACUACGAUUUUGUCAAGGGAAGUUUCGAGCUGUGGGGGCUUGAGUUCAACCUAUCGCCAUCUCUCUCUGUAUGAACUUUAAUUUAUAAAGUCAUACUCUCUCUCAUCAUCCUACAAUCUUGCCUUUGUAUUUUUAUUUCCUCGUAUAUCACAAAAAUUGGUAAUAAAUGUAAGGACGAGACUCCUUUUUCGUUUGUAUCAUAAUAUAGUAUAACCUUUUUUCUCGUUUAUGUAAUAAGAGUUGAGAUUUCGGGUAUGUAUUUAUUGUGGGCGUUUUUUUGGUUUAUUUUGGCUAUUUUUGAUAGGUAAAAGAUGUGGCCACAAUUAUGCACUGGAAGCUCUUUUAGGAAAAUUGGUAUGAAGCCAAUCUGCAGAGUGAUGGGGUUUCUCUGUAUCCAUAAUCUGCCAGUAAUAAUAAGUACUUUUGUGGAAAGAAAAUGAGUGCUAAAAAUCCUUUUCCUUUUUUUUGUGUUGGAGAAUGAUAAGUAUUUCACCAAAAUGCAGAAACAAAAUUCUCAUGACUAUCUCUGCGAGUACGUUAUAUUUCGAGAUAUGGAUAAUUCUAUGAUGUAUCAAUUACGAUAGCAAGUUAAAAACUUACUAGGAAAAAUAACAAAAGUGAUACCAAAUCAUGGAGGACCGCUACCAAAAUCUUAUAUUUCUGCGCAUCUAAUAUUAUGUAAUCACCAAAUUUUGGAAUUCUUUUUUAUUUUCAUUCAAAAAUAAGGAUAGCAGAUCAACUAGUGAGCUCCCAACAUUGAGACUAGGGUUGUAAAUGAAUCGAAUAUUUUUGCUCGAUUCGAGCUUCGAUUCGAAAUUGUGUUAUUCGUAUUCGAAAUUAUUCGAUUCGUAUUCGAUAACAAGUAUUCGAUUCGAUUCGAUUAGUAUUCAAAUACUUAUAUGAAAUUAUGAUAUUCGAUUCGAUAUUCGCAUAGAUACAUGAUUAAAUAUUUAAAUAUUAUACAUAUAUGUAUAUAUGUGUGUGUGUGGAGGGGUUAAUAUAAAUUAUGAACUCAUUUUCACCAUUUGAUUGUAAAUUUUAGAGUAAAUAUAUAUAACUAUCCACUUUCAUAUUGUAAAGAUAAAAAUUGUCCACUAAGAUAAAAAUAAUAAAAACUGUCCACUUUUUGAUUGAAAAGACGGAAAUACCAUUAACAUUAAAAACAUAAAAAUUAACCAUUUUUCUCUCAUUCUCUCUCUCCUCUUUCUCUCUCUAUGCAAUCCCUUCCCCCUUCUCUUCUCUCUCUCAUCUCUCUCUCCACUCUCUCUCUCAUCUCUCUUUCUCAAGCGACGCUGCGGCGGACCAGGUCAAACAAGGCGGCGAGGCGCGGGCAGAUGCGGCGAAGGAAGCCACCGUCGGCAGAGCCGGGGGAGGUGGACAUCGGCUGGAGGUAUGCCCACGCCGCCUGCUUGACGAGGCGGUUUCGGAUGCAGAUAUCGGAUCCGCCUUGCGUGGAGCUCGACCGCGGCGAGUUGACCGCCGACGUCGGGAGAAGGUCCUUCAGCGAGGUGUAGCUGUGAGAAUUAGGCUUGAUCGACAGCAGCUCGAGAUCGUCGGAAGACGACGACGUGGUGGCGGAGGACGAGCUGUGGUGGUGGUGGUAGAGGAGAUUGAGCUUGGUCGGCGCUACUAUGAUCGAGGAGGGGAUUGAACUCCGGCGGCGGAGCUAGGGGGUUUUGCUGCGGAAACCCUAGAUCUGAAGCGGCGUUCUCGGAUUCGACGGCAAUGUGGUGCUGCGUGGUGGCGCGGAGGCUGGUGAGGAUCUGGUGGUUCUGGCGGCGGAGCUCGGCCACCUGCGCCAUCAGCUCCUCCAUGUGCUUCUGCUUCCGGAGGCGGCUCCGCCGCGCCGACUCGCGGUUGGAGAUCAUCCACUUUCUCUUCCUCAAAUCCAUCGUCUUCUGCAGAUCCUCCUUCGAUGCCGAGUCUGCAGCCCCGAUGAAUUCGACGAUAUUCCACUCGAUGAAUCCAUGGUAGCAGUAGAGAUUCAAUUUUUUUUUCUUGUGUUGGUGAUUGGAAAUUUAUAUUACAUGUGCUUGGUUGAAAUGAUAAUUUUUAGUUAUUGUAAGAAAUAAAAUGAGUAAUAGUAUUUUUUUNUUUUUAGUGAUGAUUUGUGGAUUUUAUUAAAGAGAUUUGAUCGAUUGAAUGAGAAACAUAUUUUGGAUAAUUGAUUAAUGUUCUUGAAUUCACAACGAAAUUUAUGAAUUCACAACAUAAUAUUCUUGAAUUCACGCUCAGAUCUAUGAAUUCACAAUCAACUCGAUGAAUUCACAAUUUAAUAUUCUUGAAUUCACAACUAAAACUUGAAUUCACAACCAAAAUAAAUUCUAAUUUUAGUUGUGAAUUCAAACUUUAAAAACUCAAAUUCACAAUUACUUGAAUUCACAAUCAAAAUAAAUUUUGGUUGUGAAUUAAAUUCUAGUUGUGAAUUCACAAAAAAAAAAUUCUGAUUGUGAAUUAAAUUCUUGUUGUGAAUUCGACUGGUUGUGAAAUGCGGAAUUUUUUAAAGGGAUAGUGUUUAAAGGUCAAAUGAAGUGGACAUUUUUUUAAUUUUUAAUGUGAAGGGCAUUUUGGUAACAGUGGACAUUUUUUUAAUUUUUUAUUUUAGUGGCCAUUUUUUAUCUUUACAAUAUGAAAGUGGACAUUUUACAAAUCCACUCUAAAUUUUAUGGUAGAUUCAUCACUUUAUUGGAUGAAUUUAAUUUUAUAUUCAUCAAUAUCUAAUUAUAUAUAUAAGAAUUAUUGAUGAGGAGUAAUAUAUGUAGAGCAGAGGAAUCUCUUUACCAGUGGAAUCACGGGGAGCAGCGAGGCAGAUUUCAUCAAAAGAAUCGUACUCGCUGGAAGAAUCAUCCUCACCAGAGGAAGCGCACUCGCCAGAGGAACCAUCCUCGCCAGAGGAAUCAUACUCGCCAGAGGGACCAUCAUCGCCAGAGGAAUCGUACUCGCCAGAGGAGCCAUUCUCACCAGAGGAAUCUUGCUCGCCAGAGAAGUCACUUUCGCCAGAGGAGUCUCGCCCACCAGAGAAGUCACUUUCGCCAGAAGGAAGUAACAAAAGCGCGGUGAAAUCUCCCGCGUAAAGACGAAUUUCCUAUAAUACCCUCGACCACGCAAGGCGCAUGCGUGUAUGCUGAUUUUACUAUUUUGCCCUCCCAUGUAAUCUAUAAAUAAGCCCUGAGCUCGUGCAUUGUAACCAACGUUAUCUCAAAUUCUCAAUACAGCAAUAGUUUUUCUCUUGAGUUCUUGCAUUCCGACUGUGUUCUUUGUCUCUUCCGUUCAAUCACACUAGGUAUAGUCUACGUUUACUGCUCUUUAGUCUAGGUGUUGGUUCCUUGUUUCACCAACUGGCGCCGUCUGUAGGAAGUAACUGAGCUAGGAUGUGAGUUUCCGUUCGCCGGCGCAUGCAGAUUCAAAAUUAUGCUCGGAUCUGCGUGCGCAGGCACCGAUCGGGCCGAUAAUUCGGGCACCCAAAUGAAUUCGAGUCGAUUAUCACGUUUUUCGGGUUGAUUUACCUUUAAGCUUCUGCGAUCUGUGUUUAUUUAUGAUUUUUGGUGCAUGGGGAAAGGUGGUGAAAGUCGUAAAUCGUGAAUUGGGAGGAUUUGCGUUUAUUUACCGAUUGAUCGGUUUAAUUGUAGGCGAAUGCAGGGUUUCUUCGUAGAAUUGGGGUUAUACUUACAGAUCUGAUGUUUAUAUCGGUGGAUUGUGGGGUGGUACUCUGUUUCUGUUGUGUUGGGCUUGCGCUAUUGAUUUACGGGUGUUUUUCGCUUAAGGGUGAUAAUUAUCGAUGUUUUCCAUGUUUUUGCGGCUAAUCUUCGUUUUCUACCGGUGGAUUGUGGGGUAUUACUCUGUUUUUGGUUGUGUUGGGUUUUUGCUGUUGAUUUACGGGUUUUGCACCGGUAGUAUGUUGAUUAACACUCCAUUUUUGUUAUGCUGAGUUUAUGCUGUUGGUUUAUGGCUGUUUUUCGUUUAAGGGUGAUAACUAUCGGUGUGUUCCAUGUUUUUACGGUUAAAUCUUUGUUUUAUCCCCUGUUUAAUGCGUUCUGUUAAUAAUCCGGCUGAUUGAUGUGAUGAUUUUAUUAUUUUUGGGCCUUGCGGUUAUUUUAGUGCACGAUCGUGGUAAUUUUGGGGGUGAUGUUCGUCUUUCCUGCAUAAUUCUCAUUUUAUAUCAUUCCUGACAAUUUCGCUAACAAGUUUCGUGGUUGAUGUUUUGUUUAUAUCCGUCUUUGGGUUUUCUUACGAGUUCAAAGGGGAAUUACCUGGUUGUUGCUCUGCCAUUCGUGCUCUGUUAUUUCAAUCAGUGCACUGGGUUUAUUUCCCAGUGCACAGGGAUAUCUUGAGGGAGAAUUUUUAACGGCCUCCGCGCCGGUGUUCGGGAUUUCCUAUUUCGGCAAUUUCAAUCAGUAAAGGAAGAUCUACUCAUUUGUUAUCUGGAUAUAUCUCACAUCGUUUAUGUGUAGGUACUAUGGGAUCUUCAGAUGCCCACCGCACCUUGGAGAAGGAGUUCGACUCCACUGCCCUCACCACUGAGAUGCCUACUUCAUUGUUUAACGGCCUGCAGGGCAGCACCGCCUUUACCACGCCGCCGGGUUUUCAUGCUAUCUCGGCCACCCCGCUAGCAAGACAGAAUGGCAACUUCCAGAGAUCUGCUCUGGUGACACCGGGUUCAGAUACGCCAGGCUUGGUGUCACGACCGGCCCUAAUUAAGGAUAAUUAAGCCGGGAAAACCGUGACUAAUGGAGGGAGAUUAGAAGCGGGGUAGAAAGGGGAUAAUCAAGCAAGGAAGGAUCGCAUUUUCAUCAUUUUUAACAAAGGGGAUAUCUAUAAUAUAACGAAGGUUUAGUCGUAUAAACUCAAAUAACUAGUAAAUUCGGAUAACUCCGACUUAGCCAAAAUAACAUAAAACUUCUAAGUACGCAGCGGAAUAAGGUUCUGAUUACAUGUAUGAAGACAUGUAUCCCCAGAGUUCAUUAAUACAUAAGGAUAAGACAAAAGACUCCGCUCGUCACUUCAUCACCAUCGGCUACUGCUCAACCUGCACAUUUAUAAAUACAUGCAGGGCUGAGUACAAAGGUACUCAGUGGGCACAUAAGCCUAUAAUAAAAUAUAACAUGCUUCGUAAAGUUGUAAAUUGUCAUGCCAUCAUAAACAGUACAACAAGGGGGUUUUUCGCUAAAAAGGCCCAAGCUUACUAAAUUCGUUUGUGAUUCUUAAAGUUCGUCUGCAGACUAAGUUCUCAUAAUCCAUCAUAUCUGAAGCUAUGUGCCGGAGAGGUGGCCACCUCUCACGGUCACUUGACCGGCCAACCCGCUAGAUGACUCACGGUCACUGGUGUACACUAGUCCUAGCAGGAUAGCUAUCAACUGCUCAGGACCCGAAUUCGAUUACAUGAUAACUGGCAAAGCCAUAUCAGAUAGAUAUCAUACUGAAAUUGAAACAUUUUAUGGCAAGACAAUACUUGAAAUAACUUCAAUUAAAGAUUUAGUCAUGAAAUAACUUGCUUGAACGUAACAUUUAAACUCAUUUGAUAUAUAUGAAAGUAAUGCCUACCUGAUUGCAGUUGUUUUGCUACUUAAGACAAUGAUUCUCUUUCCUUAGCGCGAUAGGUUACUCAGGCGCUUUUUGUUUAUUUGAACCUUUGAUAACACGAAAACAUGUGUUCGAGUGAAUAAUAGAAAAGAUAACAACAAAUGCAGUGAAUCACUAUUCACUCAUUUCUCUAACUACCCAUAUUUCCUUAAACGACUAUAUCUAACUUAUAUACAAUCGUUCUUCUUUUAUCGAAAUACUUCAUGUACCUUUGAGGAUGUAGGAAAGCCCAUUUUAUAUUAUUCCUUUAUUUAUCCAUUAUAAAUAAAGAAUAAUUUAUAAAAUAUUUUCCUUUUCCCCAUUUAAUAAUGCCAAUCAAUAUAUAUAUAUUGCUACUAUUAAAAGAACUAAUAAGUCAUUAAUAAAUUCUAAAUAUUAAUUCCUGAUGAAAAUUUCAUUGUGAGAUUUUAGGAACAUUUGUAAAAAUAUUUUAAAAUAAUAAAAGGAGUUAACUAUAAAAGAAAUUUUCGAGAAGAUCUAAUAAUUUUAAUAUUUUAACCAUUUAAUUAAUAAAUCUUUAAUAUUUCAUUUAUCAACUAUUCCAUCUAAUAUAAUUUUACCAACAAGUUCUCAUGAAAUCUUUCUCAGAAUAUUUAUAUAUCUCAAUAGCUCAUUUAUAAACUAAAAGUGAUAUUUUAUCAACAAUAAAACUUUAAAAUCCUUAAUAAGAAUUAUUUAGAAACAUUUCAAUCUCAACAAAACUGUAUAGACUCAACUUCAACUAAUAAACUGCUUUUACUCCGAACUCGUAUGGAGUCGAAUUUUACAUCAAUAGAAACCUCUUUGAGUCUAGUAUGUUGCAAAAACUCCAAGUAGUUUAAGAGAUAUAGCGAUUUUCCCUUCGCGUACCAGAUUCGGCAGUUUCUGCCAACUGAAAGUCCAGAUUUUUGAAAAAUAGCAAACGUUUCCGGAAUGACCUCAAAUUUUAUAUACAGAUAGAUAACGCAUAUAAAUUCAUACCAUAAAAAUUUGAGAGCUAAAUAUCAACAUAUGGUUAUUGAAAUAGUUAACUUAAUCAUCUGCCUCACGACAGUUUCAGCAGAUACUGGCAGUAGAAUUCUUGAAUUUUAAAAGGGUAGUAAACAAAGUUCAAAUGACAUGAAACUUUGCAAAAAUAUAUAACACACUCCCAUCUAUACCCCAGAAAUUUCCCAUAAUAUUAUAGAAACAUGAACGCAUCGAAACAAGGGCGUCAACUUACCCCUGUCCAAGUGAGCACUAAUGGAAGUUGUUCGCCGGGGGUUUUCCGGUCCUCGUUCCGCGAUGGUGUUUAGCCGCGAAGGUCUACGACUUAGUUGUCCUCGUGCGAGGUAGAUCAGGCUACAAAAAGGUGGUUUCUCGAUCCUUUUUCGUCGUAAGGAUGGUGAGAAACGAAGGCCGUAAGUUGGCCGGUUGCUAAGUCGGGAAUUCGACGUUGGCCGCCGAAGGAUAUUGCGGCCUUCGGUCAGGAAAAUACAGAGAAGGUUGCGGCCUUUCGAUUGUUGGAUUUGGUAGCCUGAAGAUGGAGGAACAAGUACACAUUCCCGGUUCACGGCCUAGUGGCUGGUCGGCGAAGAAACGGGCCGGCGAAGGGAGCUCACUUGAGCUUAAGAAAUAUGCAAAGUUGUGAUUUGAAGCUUGUUGGCUUCACUGAAUAUUGUCAAGAGAAUAGCUCUGUACCUUAGAAUUUGCUGAUAAAGUUGUGGUUUGAGCUGAAUCUUUGGAUGUUUAUAAGAGGAAUUCCGUAGACAACGGAUUUAAAAUGGUGGAAAUUUUUGUAGGGAGUUGGAGAAGAUUACUGUAGAACCUUUGAAGAUUUUGGAUUGCACACGAUGGAAAUCUGCAGCUUUUGAAAAUUGUAGAUUGCUGAGAUUUUCUUCAGCCGCCUUUGAAAACUUUGCUCUCGGCGUGAUCAUCUUCUCCUGAAAUUGGGGCUUUUUGGGUGUGAUGGAUUGCAUGGAAGAUAUUGCAGCUGUGAAAAUUGUGGAUCUUGUCGUGAUUUUCCCUUGCUGAAAUCUUGACUAUUUGGAUGGGAUUAACUGCGGAAAAAUGCAGUUUUGAAGAUGAAUAGUUGUGGUAAUGAUAUAUGUUGGAGGGGUUGGUGUAAUAGUGUAGUGAUUCGACUAUUUAUCGUGAUCUAAUUUCUCAUAGUUCGUACUUGUUUCUGUAAUAAUUCUCCAAUUCUCGAUGAUUAAAUACUCGUCGUAUUUAUCUAAAUUAAAUCCUCAGACUAGGGAUUUAAUACUUGAAAGUCGGAAUUAAUUCACGACUUAAUAUUAACUCAUAUAGUGCGAAGUAAAUAAAAUUAUUAUUCGCAUAUGCUCAAGUUAUAAUUCUAUCAACUUGAUCUAAGUAACACGAUUUUUAAAAUCGGUUAUAAGCCUGGAAUUUCUAAUAAUAUUGAUUGAAUCCAUCAAUAGGUAAAAUAAAGUCUCAAACAUGUAACUAAACCAAUAAUUUAAUUAUUGGUUUGAUUCAUGGCUGAAUAUUAAAUCGCUGAAAUAAUAUUAUCUUAAUAUAAAAAUCUCAAGUGAUAAUUAAAUAUGCAAAGAAAUAUCGUAAUUAAUGCAACUAUUUAUUCUAAUAUGUAUUUAAAAGAGCGGGGCAUCACAUACUACCCCCUCUUAAAAUAAAUUUCGUCCCGAAAUUUGCAUAUCUUCGUUAAACAACUCUGGAUAUUUUUCUUUCAUCUUGUCUUCGAGCUCCCACGUAGCUUCUUCUUGUCCAUGGUGCCUCCAAAGAACUUUUACUGAGGUGAUUGAUUUAUUUCGGAGUUGUUGCACCUUUCUAUCUAAAAUUGCUUCGGGUCUUUCUUCAUAGCUCAGGUCUGGAUUAAGGAUCAUCUCAUUUUGGUGUAUCACGUGCUUUGGAUCGAAAACGUACUUCCUAAGUUGUGAUACGUGGAAAACAUUAUGGACAUUUCCUAGGCUUGGCGGUAAUGCCAGCCUGUAAGCCACUGGGCCUAUUCUUUCUAGGAUCUCAUAGGGUCCUAUAAAUCGGGGUCUAAGUUUCCCUUUAACUCCAAAUCUAAUGAUCCCUUUUGAUGGAGAAACUUUCAGAAAGACUUUUUCUCCAUUCUCAAAUUGUAAGUCAGUUCGGCGUUUAUCAGCAUAUGACUUUUGUCUAUCCUGGGCCUCCUUAAUCCUCUGUCGGAUUUGGCGAACGAUUUCAAUCAUUUCNAGUCAUCUAACGGGUUGGCCGGUCAAGUGACCGUAAGAGGUGGCCACCUCUCCGGCACGCAGCUUCAGAUAUGAUAGAUUAUGAGAACUUAGACUGCAGUCGAACUUUAAGAAUCACAAAUGAAUUUAGUAAGCUUGGGCCUUUUAGCUAAAACUCCUUUGCUGUACUGUUUAUGAUGGCAUGACAAUUUACAGUUUUGAAGCAUGUAUUUUUAUACUUAGGCAUACGUGCCCACUGAGUACUUUUGUACUCAGCCCUGCAUAUAUUUCUAAAUGUGUAGGUUGAGCAGCUGGUGGUGGUGAUGAAGUGACGAGCGGAACCCUUUUGUCUUAUCCUUAUGUAUUAAUAAACUCUGGGGAUACAUGUCUUCAUACAUGUAAUCAGAACCUUAUUCCGUUGCUUACUCAAAAGUUUUAUGUUAUUUUGGCUAAGUCAGAGUUAUCCAAACUUACUAGUUUAUUCGAGUCAAUAUGACGAAACCUCCGUUAUAUUAUAAAUAUUCCUUUUGAUAACAAUGAUUAAAUACGAUCCUUCUUGGUUUAAUUAUCCCCCUUUCUACCCCGCUUCUAAUAUCCCUCCCUUAGUCACGAUUUCCCAGAUUUAAUUAUCCUUAAUUAGGUCCGGUCGUGACAGAGUGGUAUCAGAGCAGUUCAUUUGCUCUGAACCCUAGAGUUGACCAAUUUUCCUAGUAUGAUUACUAGCAUGAAAGAGUCAGUCGACUAAAGCUCAUCACUUCAUCACAUCGUCCUGCUUAGCAAGAAAGAAAGUGGUAAUGAUUUUAAAAUAUUGAGAAGUUCACGUUUAUAUGAAUGUACUGAUGCUUACAUUCAAGUUUUAUGCUUUAUUGAUUGAUUAGAUAUCUCCAUGAACUUAGAUGCGUUAAGAAUGCAUGAUCACUGUUACGAGAAGAACAAUAGGAGCUACAAACUCAGUUAUAUUUCACUAUAGCCAUGGUGAAGAGCCAAGAAAGAGGAAGAGAAUCCAAUGAAAGCAGUGCAAGCGGAGUGCCAUGCACGAAUCACUAACGCAGGCAUAGUUCUUCAUUCAGGUUGUUCACGCGAGACGGAACACCUAAUCGACUAUUGCCUUAUUCGAUGAUUGUUUAAGUAUGAUAUUGCUUAUAGCGAUGAGUGCGACUUAUGUAAUCAGUUAGCUAAUCCCUAAUAAGCUGAGACUCACUUCUAGCCUCGAUAUCACUAGCUAUGGCUUGAGGAUAACCUUCAUGAUUCAUGUAUGAACUUCAGAGUUAGACUUACGAGGGGUCAAAAUGCUUUAUAUAUGAUGUUAUAAUAUUACGAUGAAAGCUAUCAGCUUAUAGUUUCAGAUAUUCGGAACCAUUCUACUUACAGUACCUAUCGCAUUAGAUGAGGACAUGACUGAGAAUCCCUAUUGAUUACGAUCACCUACUACGAAUUGGAAAGACGAGGUGUGAUAUGGGUAUUGGCAGUUACCAACCAUUAUGAUUGAUCAUAAAAGUUUACGCAAGUGUGUAAGACGAGAGAAGUUCUCGAAGAUGGUUCAGAGUUUAAUAAUAGCUAGAAGCGCCGACAGUGGAUCGAUGCUGAAAUAAAUGAAUUAAGAUUCUAAUGAGACCCUAAGGAUAUACUCAAGAUAAGUAUACAUACCUUAACCUAUCAAGGACAUCGCCUCAGUUAGAACGUCUUGGAUUAGGCAUUUAGUUUAGUAGCCGGAGUGAGAGCAUUGACUAAGGUCAUUCCAUGACUUAGCAUUACGUAUGGUGACAAAUCCUGUAAAGAUGCUCAGAGGAGCAAAAUCUAUUUCCUUAUUGAAGGCGUGAUGAUUCAGAAGGUGUUUUGCAAUGACACGGAAGAGUGCUUCAAAUUACAUGGUUGCAUUUCAAGAGCUAUGUGAAGGAACACUAAGUACUAGAAGUACUACAUUAAGAUCAUGUAGUGGAACAUUGUUGAGUAAGGUUGAGCCUACCUUAUUUCGUCUAUAGAAGAUGUUUAGGGAUUGCAUUAAAUUAGGAGGCAGACUCCAAGUUUGAGAAGCUCUAGAAUAUUCUCAAGGACAUGUUCAAGAUGUUAGGAAGAAAGUGGUGAUUUUAGACCAAAUAUACCUUUUGCAGCCAAUGAACAAGAGUACCAAGUUCGGAAAAGUAUUUUCGAGUGGCUGAGAAGUAGUUGUGUCGGACCUGGCCAGUCCACAUGGCCAAAAUCUCAGUAGUCGUCAUAUAUGGGUCUUUAAACCUAUAUAUUUUAAACCUUCAUUUGAAAAGCCAAACGGGUUCAGACCAUUAGGUCAUUUUGUUUCGACUUUUCAGUCAAUUCAUUUCUACCCUAUGGUUAUUCAUUUUCAAUUGUUUGGCAAAUUAUUGAAACACCUUGCCUAAUUGCCAUUUGUGAUUUGAAUCAUUGUGAUCCACUAGUUGUUGGUAGAUUUUCUGUGACCCAAGGACAAACAGGUACUCAUCAGAUUAAAUCAGUCAGACACGUAUGUCUCGACCCAAGGGUCAAGCGCAUGAUGCAUCUAGACCUUCUCGUAUGUAUUUAGUAGGAUGUUACUUGUGUAUUCUGGAAACGAUGAUUGUUUCGAUGCUUUUGCAUACCGCUAUGUUGGCUUGGUUAUUUUUGCUAGUAUUAGUACGGAAAUGCUGGCCCACAGGCGUUCCACGACCAAGUUCCCUUGCGAUGGCGUACUAGACAGCCAUUCAUAUUGUGUAGUCCUUGGAUAGAGCAAUAGAUCUAAAUUCAGAAAUUGAUGUACAAGUCCUCAUCAGGGCAAUUUUCCUAUGUCUCUAUGACAACUUUAUCGUUCUUUUGCGGCAAGUCACUUCUGCCACAUUUACUUAUAUGUUAGCAUGAGAAAGAGUAUAAGCAAGAUUGAGAAUCAAAAAAAAAAAUGAGCAGAAUUGAUGAUACGCAUCAAUAUUUUUUUUAAGGCAUAGAUGACUAUAUGUCAACUCAUCGGAGAGCCACUUAAACAAAGGCAUCCAAGAAAAGGGGGGAGAAUUCGUUGAGAUGAGGAAUUAGGCCCAGUACCAGGGCCAGAACAAACCAUGGCCCCACCACCCAUACAACCAAAACGUAGAAUAGAUGAACUAUUUGUGUGAUAAAACCCAGCUGUCUUCAAUGGAACAGGAGACCCAGCGGGGGCUGAGGCUUGGGUACGAGCUAUUCAGCGCAUCUUCAAUUUCUAGCGUUGCACAUACUAGGAACAUCUUACUUGCGUGUCUUUUCAACCGACCUCUUGUGAGAAACACAGAGGAAGACAAUGGCGGUAGAGCAAUUGGAGAUUAUAAUGUAGGAGUAGAUUGAGACGUGCAUAUAUAACAAGUAUGGGACUCCACCCUGCCCAAAGUGGAACAAGAACCAUGGGAAACUCUCCAGGACUGGUAAUGAAGGUUGUUGCACAGCAACUGGAAUGAAUAUUAUGCAAAUCGUUACCCGAAUAAGCAACAAAGGGCGGGUCUCAGGCUAAACUCGCCUGUUCAGACUCCGCAUUUGAGCAAUCCAAGCUUUGCCCAACUAUACCAAGAGCAGUAACCACGCCAGCGGCAGCAACAACAAUAAUAAUAGCACAUGUGUGCUUGAAUUUAGAGCUGAGCAUAAAAUUAUUCAAAGUUGUAGUGAACAACUCAUAUGUUAUGCCGAUGAGAGACGUAUACAUCAACUUAUAAAAAGUUGAACGAGGUGACACUCAAGAACAGGUAUCCUCUAUUGAGGAUAGAUGACUUUUUCAAGCAGCUCAGAGGAGUGAGUGUGUCCUCAGAGCUAGAUUUAAGGUCUAGGUACCAUCAACUAUAGAUUCGAUAAGAAGAUGUUCCCAAGAUGGUCUUCCGAACCAGAUAUAGACAUUAUGAGUUCGUGGUGGUGUCAUUUGGAUUGACCAAUGCACCAGCCAUGUUUGUGGACCUCAUGAACUGAGUGUUCCACCCAUACUUAGGCAAGUUAUCUUAGUUUUCGUAGAUGAUGUCUUGAUCUACUCGAAGAAUGAGAAGGACCAUGAGAAACACCUGAGGAUAGUCCUAAAAACAUUGAAAACAAAGCAUCUUUAUGCCAAGUUCUGCAAGUGCGAAUUUUGGCUCAACAAAGUCACUUUUUCGGGACAUAUUAUCUCAUUAGAAAGGAUCAAAGUGCAUCCUGAGGAAGUACAAGCUGUACAUGAGUGGAGAUCGCCUACUAACCCCAAUGAGAUCAAAAGUUUCUUGGAAUUAGCAGGUUGCUAUCAGAGAUUCAUAGGAGGAUUUUCCAAAAUAGCAAAACCAAUGACCCAAUUACUCAGGAAGGGAAUUAAAUUUCCUUGGACAGAAGUAUGUGAGAAAAGAUUUCAAGAAGCUCAAGGAGAAGUUAACCAUAGUUGUUCCAACAGCCGACAAAGAAUAUGUGAUUUAUACAGACGUGUCCAAGGAGAGUACUUAGUUGCAUGUUAACGCAAGAAGCAAGAGUGACAACAUACGCAUCACGAUAGCAUUGACCACAUGAAUUGAACUAUCCUACUCAUGAUCUACAAUUAGCUGCAGUAGAGACACUACCUAUAUGGAUUUAGGUGCGAGAUAUUCACAAACCAUAAAAAGUCUGAAUUACUUUUAGCAAAUGGAUCUGUACAUGAGACGAAGAGGAUGACUAGAACUAGUAAAGGACUAAAUGUGGUAUUAACUACCACCCAGGCAAGACUAACAUGGUAGCUGAUGCCUUGAGUCGUAAGGCUCAAUCUAAAUCGGAAUUAUCCUCACUCUGGAGGGAAACUCAUUAAAGAUAAUUGUAGAAUGAGUUUAAAAGUGGUUCAACUACUAGAAUCAGUGGAAGGCAUUAUUGCCACAAUGAUAGUAACACCCAAUUUGAGAGGAAAGAUGUUAGAUACACAAGGAAAUGACGAGACCUUAGAGAAAAUACAUUUAGCAAUAAGAUCAGGCAAGCCUGGAUGUUACCAUGAGACAUUGGAUAAUGCAUUAAUGUUUGAAGAGAGAUUGUGUAUCCCACACGAUGAGAAACUCAAAGAUGAGAUAAUAAGCGAGGCUCAUGACAAGCCAUAUACUGGCCACCCGGGAAGCACAAAUGUACCAGGACAAUGAAGGAAAAUUCUGGUGGGAAUGUAUGAAGAAAUAUAUAGCUUCACUUGUUGAGAUAUGCCUAGCAUGCCAACGAGUGAAUGCUUUUCACUAAAGAUCAUAUGGAAAGUUACAACCACCAAAGAUUUUAGAUUGGAAGUCGGAGCAUAUUGCAACAAAUGUUGUGACUAGUUUACGAAGACGAAAUGAGGAAACGCUGUCUUUUGGGUAAUAGUGGAGUGACUCACGAAAUGCGCUCGUUUUAUAAUAAUACAGAUCACAUACGGAUCAGACAAGCUAGCAUAAUUGUAUGUCUGAGAGAUUGUGCGCUUACACGACGUGCCGUGUUAAAUCACUUCAGACCGAGACUCGAAGUUCAUAUCUAGAUUUUGGAUGAGCUUGUAGAAGGAGUUAGGCACAAGGUUAAAUUUCAGUACCGCCUCCCACCCACAAUCAGAUGGAUAGUUUGAGAGACCAAUUCAGACUCUCUUAGACAUAUCUUUGAGUAGCAGUACUAGACUGAGGUGGGAGUGGGGAAUCAUUGUUGCCAUUGAUUGACAUUGUAUACAACAAUAGUUAUCAGAAAACCAUCGAUAUGGCGCCUUAUGAGGCAUUAUAGGAAAGAAAAUGCAAAUUACCAAUUAACUGGAAGAGGUAGGUGAAAUGAGAAUUUUAUGACCAUGCAUGAUCAAUGAAACGAUUGAGAUACUUCGAUAGAUCAGAGAAAGAAUAAAAGAGACACAAGAUAGGCAGAAAUCUUAUGUUAAUACGCACCGAAUUGAGUCACAUUUUGAAGUAGGAGAUAAGGUUUUCCUAAAGGUAUUUUCCUCUAAGGGAAUAGCUAAGUUUGACGACAUAGAAAAGCUUAGACCCCGAUUCGUGGAAUCAUAUAAGAUUUCAGAAAAUAGGCCCAAUAGCCUAUAGAUAGGCGCUAUCGCCAAGUGAUGUGAAUGUCCAAUGUUUUCCACAUUCCUCGACUUAAGAAGUAUGUUUUCGAUCCGAAGAGCGUGACUAACCAUAACAAAAUGAUUCUUAGCCCAGACUCGAGCUAUGAAGGAAGACCAAAAGCCAUGUUCGUUUGAGAAGACACAAUAGCUCAUGAAUAAGUCUAUCAAUUAGUGACAGUCCCAUCGAGACACCAUGGAUAAGAAGAAAUUAUGUGGGAGCAUGAAAGCAAGAUGAGCGAAAAUGCCAGAACUUUUUAGCACAGAUAUGCAAAUUUCAGAACGAAAUUUUUGUUAAGAGGGGUAGUAUGUAGUAGCCCACUCUUUUAUUUUAUGAUUAAGGUCAGUAAAUGCGAUAUUUAUUUAUUGCAUCUUCAGUUAUGAUAAAUCAGUGAUUACUUAUUAGUUAAUUCAACCCACAUAACCUGAAUUAGAUGUCAUUGUGUGAUAUGAUCACGAUUGAAUAUUUGAGCAGUCAAUGUUUUAUUUUUAUUUUUAAAUUAAUAACUGACUUAGCAAAGUCAAGUUAUUAUUUUACAUGCAAUAGGUAUAUAUGUAUUUCUAUUAUUUUCCUGAAGUCGUGAAUUUGAUUCCGACUAACAGAGUGAGUUAAAUUAGAUAUUAAUUCGUAGAGGUUUUAUAACGAUUACCAGAAUUCGAAAAAUUAGAUAUAUAGAUCCUCGAUUGAUACAGAAUUUUAGGAUUUUAUUUGUCACCUCAAGACUCUCCAACACUUACACUCAAAGUCCUUUUUCCUACUCUACUGCACAGUACACGCAUAUUUUCCAACAAUUACCAUCAACAAUCUUUCCUGCUACUUCCUACAAGGCUACAAUACUAUUCCCCAUCUGCAAAGGAAAAAAAAAAGAGAAGGGGGACAAGAAAGAAAAAAAAAAGGGAAAACUUGUGUGUAGAGAGCAGCUACAACAGCUACCCUUUCAUCCUCUGCAACCCUCUAUCCACUCAAAGCCCAUAUGGGAUACGGAAAGGAACAUCAGCCACCCUAUAUGAGCUCACAUCAGCCACCCUAUAUCUGUAGACCACUUGAGUAUGAGCCAACAACACCACUUCUUGUAUUUCAGCCAUCAAGUCUCUCUUCUUCCCUCACUAACACAUGCUGAAGAAGCUAAGAAAGGGAGAGAGAGUUUCCUCCAACUCCAACUCCAAACUGUACCUUGAAGAGAUUUUUCCCAACGAAUCCCUCAGCUCAACCUAGUUCAAACACAUUAAAAGGUCAAGUAGGCGAGUAAAAGCUAGUCAGGAGUCACUAAGCUAGGGCAAAGGUUUGCUUAUCAGGUGGGCAUUACUUUCAUAUAUAUCAAAUGAGUUUAAAUGUUACGUUCAAGCAAGUUAUUUCAUGACAAAAUCUUUGAAUUGAAGUUAUUUCAAGUAUUGUCUUGCCAUAAAAUGUUUCAAUUACAGUAUGAUAUCUAUCUGAUGUGGCUUUGCCAGUUAUGUAAUUGAAUUCGGGUCCUGAGCAGUUGAUAGCUAUCCUGCCAGGGCUAGUGUACACCAGUGACCGUGAGUCAUCUAGCGGGUUGGCCGGUCAAGUGACCGUGAGAGGUGGCCACCUCUCCGGCACGCAGCUUCAGAUAUGAUAGAUUAUGAGAACUUAGACUGCAGUCGAACUUUAAGAAUCACAAAUGAAUUUAGUAAGCUUGGGCCUUUUAGCUAAAACUCCCUUGCUGUACUGUUUAUGAUGGCAUGACAAUUUACAGUUUUGAAGCAUGUAUUUUUAUACUUAGGCAUACGUGCCCACUGAGUACUUUUGUACUCAGCCCUGCAUAUAUUUUUGAAUGUGUAGGUUGAGCAGCUGGUGGUGGUGAUGAAGUGACGAGCGGAACCCUUUUGUCUUAUCCUUAUGUAUUGAUGAACUCUGGGGAUACAUGUCUUCAUACAUGUAAUCAGAACCUUAUUCCGCUGCUUACUCAAAAGUUUUAUGUUAUUUUGGCUAAGUCGGAGUUAUCCAAACUUACUAGUUUAUUCGAGUCAAUAUGACGAAACCUCCGUUAUAUUAUAAAUAUUCCUUUUGAUAACAAUGAUUAAAUACGAUCCUUCUUGGUUUAAUUAUCCCCCUUUCUACCCCGCUUCUAAUCUCCCUCCCUUUGUCAUGGUUUCCCCGGCUUAAUUAUCCUUAAUUAGGUCCGGUCGUGACAAUCAGGCUCAAGAAAACUAGAUUAAUACUUUUUAUUCAGGGAACAAAUCAAAAUUCAAUUGAAUCAAUUGACAAAUAAUUAAAUCUCACAGAUUAGACUAGAUCAUUAUUCUCACCGAAUCAAGAAAAUUAGCUAUUAAUGAAAUAAAACUCAACAAAGAAAAAAAAAUCAUAAUAAAAUAAAAACAAUAAGAAAUCAAUUCAUAGUUUCAUACUAAUCAUGAAUUAUUCUUCAAACUUGUGCACAAAAUAAAACUAUAGCUCCUAUGAAUUGCCGCCUCCAGCUGCUAAGAUGAGUGCCUCCANUCAAUUGCCGCCUCCAGCUGCUAAGAUGAGUGCCUCCAAUUAAAACUUAUCGCCCCCUGACUUGUUAAUUAAUUGGCAAAGAGAAGUCAGAAUAUAAUUACUUCCUAAUGGCCCAUGCACUAUAAUAAUAAUAAUAAUAAUAAUAAUAAUAAUAAUAAUAAUAAUAAUAAUAAUAAUAAUAAUAAUAAUAAUAAUAAUAAUAAUAAUAAUAAUAAUAAUAAUAAUAAUAAUAAACAAAUCAUUAUUCACUAGAUCAGACUUCGACUUCUUGUGCUUGCUUCGUUAAUAAUUUGCAUCAAAACACUUCUUUUCUGCUAUCUUUUUCUCGAUUUCAUUAACAUCAAACUCUUCAAUAUGGUGUUACAAUAAUCGAUUUCAGAAGAUAUUUGAAGUUGAUGAAAAAGUCUGAUUUAUGCUUGAAGAGCUUAAGACAAAAUGGAUAGGUCGUUUCCUAAUUAAUCUAGUCUGUUUGACCAGACGGGGCAAUGGAGAUUAAGAGUUUGGAUACGACAAAGAUAUUUACAGUCAAUUAUCACAAAUUGGAGUAGUGCCAUGAUGCAUCUCACAUAACGAUAGUGGAAUAAAUUUCACUGUUACCUCUGAUGAGAAUCUGAUUGCAUCAAAAAGUCUAGCCAAAGACUUAAAACAAAGGCACUAUUGGGAGGCAAUCCAAAUUUCUUCUCUUGCGUCUUGUUUACUUAGUGUUUUCUUGAUUUUGUUUUGUUUCUUCCUUUUUUUCAGCUAUCGCCGCCACUCUCAUUUUAUCCUCCAUCGUACCACAUCCACAAGUUGCCACCAUCGAGCCCAGAAAGAACAUUAUUGAAAAUGGUGACAUUUUUCCCUUCUUUGAGUUUUUAGUUUAUUUCCUUUCUUGUGUCUAACUUUGUGUUUCUUUGUCCUCCUUGUUUAAACUUUUUCUUUGUUUGCUUGAGGAGAAGCAAAUGUUAAGUGUGAGGAGGUUGUGUCUUUGUGUCAGUUUAUUGAGUCCUUUUUAUUUUAUUUUAUUUUAUUUUGUCGUGUCUUGUUGAGCCAAGUAGAUUACUAGAUUUGUUGAUGUUUAUGGACAUUCCUUACUUAGUUGAGUCUUGUUAUUAACUUGGUGAAUCAAUAUGUUGUUAAGUGGUGAAAUGUGAUCUAAAGUUUGGAGAAUUAUUUGAAUGAAAUAUGGGAUGACGAAAUAGGGCAAUAAUUGAAUUUAUUUAACCCUCAUUAAAUAAGAUUUGAGCUUGAAAUAGUAGAGCACCCUCUACUUUGAUUAUUUCUUAGAUGAUUAUUUACAAGGUUGCGAUAUCAUGUGUGUCACGUGUAAUAAAUGAUAGAAGGAACUAGGGCAAACCAAUUUUGGCAUGCGUUUCAUUGCUUGACCCGUAGAUUAAUCCCUAUUAGUGAGCUAUUUUGAAGCAUUGACCAUGUUUCUUUCGUACAAGUCACUAAAUAUUUAACCAAGACCUACUUUGUUACCUUGGUCCCUUCCUCAACUAUUUUGCAGUCUUCUCGAAGAAUUGGUUUAGAGGACUUGCUAAUAAACAACAGAAAAAAAAAUCGAUAGGGAAAAAAGAAACAAUUAACAACGUUCCCUAGCAACGACGCCAAUUUGGUGGUCGUCGUAUACCACCAAAUAAUUCCUGCAACCAGCUAAGAAUUAGAAUAGUAUAGCAAUAAGGUAGAACCACAGAGAAUAGAUUAAUAAUCUCAAUUUCCUAAAGCCCGAUUUCGUUGUAGCCGCCACGCCUAAAAUGUGUGAGAUUGAUUAUAAAUUAAGAAAAAUCAACUAAAAUAACAAAUAAGAAAUAAAUCAAGAAUAAAACAGACUCGAUUUUGAAUAAAUCCACACUAAUACUACUCUGAUCAUAGACGCAGAGAUAAAUUUAUUCUCAUGGACCAACCAGUUAUAGGAUACCGUGAAUGCAGUGGACAUACCCUAAUUCUCA
This 59210-nucleotide long non-coding RNA is filed under the name Salvia miltiorrhiza (redroot sage). RNAcentral's name for it is "long non-coding RNA (SMIL_LNC008168)". Lineage: Eukaryota; Viridiplantae; Streptophyta; Magnoliopsida; Lamiales; Lamiaceae. The record is from RNAcentral.